GCAAAGCAGAGCCGUAGAGAGGAUCGUCCAACAGAUCAGGUGUAGCAUGAAGAUGGUCAUCGUUCUCGCCGUGUGCCUGGCUCUGUCAGCUGCCAGCGCCUCUGCUCUGCAGAUGCCCGGGAUGGGGCUGCAGGACUUGUAUGGCGCCGGCGCCCUGAUGACGAUGAUGGGCGCCGGCGGCGGGCUGUACCCCUGCGCCGAGUACCUGAGGCAGCCGCAGUGCAGCCCGGUGGCGGCGCCCUUCUACGCCCUUCGUGAGCAGACAAUGUGGCAGCCAAACUUCAUCUGCCAGCCUCUCCGACAGCAGUGCUGCCAGCAGAUGAGGAUGAUGGACAUGCAGUCACGGUGCCAGGCCAUGUGCGGCGUGGUGCAGUCCGUCGUGCAGCAGCUGCAGAUGACGAUGCAGCUCCAGGGCGUCGCCGCCGCCAGCAGCCUGCUGUACCAGCCAGCUCUGGUGCAGCAAUGGCAGCAGCUGCUGCCGGCAGCUCAGGCCCUCACCCCCUUGGCCAUGGCGGUGGCGCAGGUUGCGCAGAACAUGCCGGCCAUGUGUGGACUCUACCAGCUGCCCAGCUACUGCACCACCCCCUGUGCCACCUCCGCCGCCAUUCCGCCCUACUACUAUUGAUGAUUCUCCCUGGCCUGUUUGGAAGAUCCGCUUCUCUCUACUGCAGUAAUAAGACGUCACACAUUAUCAUGUGUGGUGUGACCAAUAAUAUAUAUAUAUGCAUGAUCAUUGAUCAUAAUAAAGUUUUGGUUCUAAAGAAUCUACUUAAUUUCUCCAUCCCAAAUUAUAAGGCAUUCUAAAAAUCUUGGAGAGUUAAAUUAUUUCAAGUUUGACCAAAUUUAUAGAAAGAAUUAUAAAGAUUUAUAAGAUCAAGUGGAUAUACUAUAAAAAUAUAAUCAAUGAAGAACCAAAUGAUAAUUAGUAUCUAUGUUGUACACCACCUCACUUGACUUGGUCAACACGUACGUUGUCUUAAUCUUCAUUCAUCUGGUACUUUUCUCCAUAUCUAUGUACGAUGUGGAUAAAUCAAAAUUUCUCUAGUCGGGCAUGUAGAUAUUUCAAAAUCUAUGUUUAGGCUCAAAGUAUAAGUAUGCAUCCGUGGUGCUUCCAUAGAAUGACAGAUAAUGCGUGAAUGUCAUAGGUAGCAUGUUGAGAUCAACAAUUCACUGGCAUAAGUGGUGCUUACAUAGUAUGUUUGAAAAGACUUAGGGUGACAAGGGAUAUUGGUACAUGUGGAUAUUACUACUUCUGAUCCACAUGUCCCUCCCUCUUGGGGUGCUCAACAUAUCCUCUCGCCAUAGCUCUAAGCUUGCUACCCGCUCAUUGUGUUCAUAGAUGAAGAGUGUGUUAGCAUCACUAUCGAUGUCGACGUAAGGGAAACGGACAAACACAUCUCCAAAGACCGUGCUUACAUUUGAUGGCUUUUAUGCAAUGACCUAGUGAAGAAACGUGCUCCGACUGGGUGAGGCUACAAAGAAAUCACAAAAGGUAUAUCGACUUCUGAUAUAUGAGGUGGAAUUGAUCCACUAAUUCUCCGAUGCAUAUGCGUGAGAGCUUAGCAAGUUGUAUAAGUCAUUUUUCUUCGAGAAGCAUGCCACAAGAAAAAAAAUCAUAGCAUGACUGAUAUUAAGGUAGAGUGGUAUGGGUAGCAUGUUUGAGAUCAACAACCUGCUGGCAUUAUAGUGGCGAUUCCAUAGUAGGGUUGAAAAGGUUUGAGCCUUCGAGGUACCAAUGGAUGUUGGUUUUUGGUGAGAUGGUGCCAACAAAUGGCUGCUUGAGGUAGAAGGGCCUCCAAUUGACAUGAGCAGAAUUAUGAUAACCUAAUGAUGGUUUAGGAUAAAAAAAGGAGCCAAUUAUGAAUUUGCAAGAGAAGAUAAAAAAUCGUUAAAAAAUUUAAAUUUACAAGAGGGGCAAGGAACUGAACAAUCUGUAGAAGACUUGGAUAUAUAGUAGUUUUAUUGAGGAAUGGAGAAUAAAAUUGUCCGGUCUUGAGAUUUAGCCUUAGUAAAAAAAUGCACGGCCAGGUAACAGGGAAGCUAGGGGAGAACUGGAGAAGAGAAUGAGAGUCAAAGAAUUUGUUGAUGAUAGUUGUAUAGAGUUCAUGCAGAUGGAAGUGAUAGAAGUAGAUAAAGAGAGGAAAUUAGAAUCAAAGACAAACAAAACUAUUUACAAAAAAACAUUCUCAAACAAAAAAUAAAAUAACAGAAAAAUCUAUGCAAUUUGCAUGGAUAACCUUAUUAUACAACCAGAUUUUUUAAUUUCUCCUAAUGAUAUGGGGUUCUCCUAACUACUUUAACUAAUUUGAGUCUGAUUUCAUUCGCAGUGGACGGAACUGGAGUAUAGUGCGUGAUAUGGUAUGAGAUGGAGCGGUGUCUUUUUCUCCUUUUUGUACUCUAUUCUUCCAAAGAAGCUUUACAACAACCAGACUUGGGUUGCAAUGGCCCAUGCGGUCGAUCUGUCCACCGUUGGUUUGUUUAAUCCAACGGAUUAUACACAAACUAAAUCAACACAUGGUGCAUAUACCAUGGUAUAGGGUAUAGAAGGUUCAUUUCCAUUUAGGCCUUGUUUAGUUCAAAAAAGAAAGUUUUUAGGUACUGUAGUAUAUUUAUAAAUUAUAACUAUAGUAAUUAUAGUCUAAUCAUAAACUAAUUAAGCUUAAAAGAUUUAUCUCACAAAAUAUAUGUAAACUAUGUAAUUAGUUAUUUUUUAAUCUAUAUCUAAUGUUCUAUAUAUGUGUCUAAAUAUUCGAUGUGAUGGGACGAAAAGUUUUUGAGUGAAAACUAAACAGGACUCCGCUGAACCUACCAGCCAUCCAGUGAUCCAGCGAUGUUUUCCUUACAAUAAAUCAGCGAAUAAUAUCUUCAAUUAUGACUUUUUAGCCAAACGAACGGGACGACGUCACGGUCGUCAGUCAUCACAGCAAGAAAAAACUACCUAGCCGGCCUCCGUCUUCAUUAUCACACAACACAAUAUUUCUAGAGCGAGCGAGCAAUAGCCAUAGACACAUGCAUGUAUAUUAUGUAGAAUCAUGCAUCCAGCAGUCAUAUAUCCUGCAGUAGUCUAGCUAGCAAUCUUCAGAUCGAGAGAGAGCACCUAGCUAGAAGCGUAGAAGAAGAAGAUAGAAUCGGGCGGGCGAGGAAGGAAGGAAUUGAAGAAGAUGCAGGACUGGGCACCGGUGUUCAUCUCGUUGGUGCUCUUCAUCCUGCUCUCCCCAGGCCAGGGCUCCUCUUCCAGAUGCCUGCCAAGUCGCGCCUCAUCGCCUUCGGCAACUUCCACACCAGCGUCGCCUCCAUCAUCGUCCACACCAUCCUCUUCUUCGCCCUCGACGCCAUCCUCCUCGUCGCCAUCGGCGUCCGGAUCGAGCUCGGCAACUAGGCAGGCAAAGCUCCUAGCUGAUGACGAUCCAGCUAGCCGUGAUCACAAUCGUCAGAUCGAUGCAUGCAUGAUCGAGCGAGGUGCCUGCCUCCCUUGGAUCACCUACCUACCUAGCUUCAUCUCUCAUCAUACUGCGAGUAUUAAUUCCUCGUGUGUGUUUGUAUGUGUACUACAUGCAUAUAUAGGAUAUAGGAUUAUACUUAUAUAAAAGCCUGAACUUUAAUUAUAUAUGCCAGCAAAUUAAAUUAAAGCUUAAGUCGUUGUUGCUCAUUUCAUAGCUCUAUCUUUUAGUUACGUACUAGCUGCUAUAUAUACUGGUCGAAUAAGAUAUAUGCAUCUAUCAUCAGUACGUAACAGUAACAAACUAGCUAUCAACCUGCAGCUAACUCCGAUUCAUACAUGCAUGCUCACCCUUCAAGGGGCUGUGCAAGCUAUAUAUAGACAGAUCCGUAGUACAUACAUACAUACAUACAUACAUACAUACAUACAUACAUACAUACAUACAUACAUACAUACAUACAUACAUACAUACAUACAUACAUACAUACAUACAUACAUACAUACAUACAUACAUACAUACAUACAUACAUACAUACAUACAUACAUACAUACAUACAUACAUACAUGUUUCUUUAGUUUUCCUCACCAACUCUCUGACUAACAGUCUGCAAGUAUGUCGUAUAUAUAUGUGAGCCAGCCACAAACUUUAUUAAUAUAACCAGGAGAAAUUGAUUUAUUCGCUAGCUACCCCACAAGGAUCCAAAAGAACACUAGCUAGUAGUGUUUCGCAAUAUAUCUCAUGGAUAUAUAUGCAUGUCAGCAUGCAUGUGAAGUCGAUAAGUCCUCGUCUCAUGUUAUUGCAGUAAGUAAGCGAGGUUUGCAGAACAAGGUCAUCCGAAUAUCCGAUCCAAAACGAUCCCGAUUGCAUGUGAUCGACAUAGCUAAUUAAUUAAAGAUCGUAACAAGAAGAUUCCUUGCUUUGCUCUUACGAUCGACCGACCGAUCGAUUUGCAUUUGGCUGCCUCAUUUGGUUGGUGUUGCACGCACGCCACACACAGCAAAACAAGUUGUUAGUCCAAAUCAGGAGUUGACACACGACAGGACAACCAAGACUCCAAGAGAGUUAGCUAGCUACUCCAUUCGUUCCACAAUAAUUUUCAUUCUAGGAAUAAAAAAAAAAUUCUCCCAAUUACUCCUCAUUUUCGGUUCUACUGAUUGAUUUUGCUGUUGCACUUUAAUCCAAACGUGUUUAAAGGAACGAGCUAUAAGAGAUGGCGCACAAGAACAAUUGGUUGUUGAGAGCGAGCUAUAUGUCAUAGACUAGUUCUAUGACGACUACAAGAUUGUCAACGACCGUUCUAUAGCAGAGAAAGCUCAUGAGAUUCAGACAACGGGCAAAAGAAUUUGAGAAUUUUCCAUGUAUGUUUGCCGGGUAAUUAAGUUUGUGGCAUGAAGAAUUAUUGCAAAGUUACUAUCAUCGUGUCCGGAUUUUGUCACUUACCGAAAGCAAAAGAGGCAAGAGUUUACCAUUGAUGGAUCUUUGGAUGUUGAGAAGUCAAGGACACAAAGACACACUUGAUCGAGGCGCAGGAGAAGAGUCGUCGGAUCCAUUAUAUGUUUGCUAUUUGACAGAUCUUUAAUAACAUGCAUACUAGCAUUUGGUUGACUAAAUUAUUGUGGACGAAGUAGAUGGGCGCUCCCCGUUAAUAUACAGUGGAUAUAUACAUGCUCCAACAUAUAUGUUGAGAAUUCCACAAUACUGAAGCCUAAUGAUUGUACGUACUCUGAAAUUUAUGCUCCAUCCUGAAAGACACAGAAGGAAGUUAAAAGGCACACCUGAAUGCAUGUUGUAUCAGUUGGGUUGUUGAUGAGUGAGUCACGCAAUUGAACAAAGACGUAUUGCUCCUAGGCUUACCUCAGCUGCUCAACAUAUAUAUGCAUUGCAUAAAUAUCAUUAGUUGAGGAUAAGGAGAGACGUACGUACGUCCAGAUAGAUAGAUCCCUCUCACUCUCGGUGUCUGUUAUUAUCACACUUUAUACUUUCUAGUAAGAUCGAAGCUAGAAACGCUAGCUAGCCCUGCCGCAUACUGAAUGAAAAAGAAAUAAAGCAAGCAAUUGUAAUGAAGUGUCAUCUGAUGAUGACAACUAUCUCCACCACCUGACCUCUAAUUAAGUAAUGACCGGCAAAUAAAAGUAGCUAGUGUUUUACUGUUUACGUACACAGACGACACACACCAAAAAAAUAAGAGAGAGAGAGAGAGAGAGAGAAAAGCGUCUCCUGAACAUACAUAUACAUACCAGUAUAAUGUAUAUAUAUGGUACACAAUAAGUGAAGGACGACAUGCCAUUGUCAUGUGGGAACGGCCAUGGAAAGCGAGACAUCACCAACCAACCAGAAACAGCAGGCAGGCGGAUCAUCAUAUAUCAUAUACUAGCAAUAUAUCAAUAUGCAAGGCAUGGCCGAGAGAGACUGAGAGAGCGCUAGAGCGAGCACCAGCAAACCAAACCAAAUACGAAAAGCAUGCAGGCCACAUGCGUGUGAUGAGGUAAUAGCUGCAGGCUCACGCCUCACCUAGCUUCUCCGGCUGGCCUUCGUUGUUCCCCAGCAAUUUCGUCAGCCACUCCUCCAUAUAUCCAGCCACAAGUCAAACACAAGACACACAAUUAAUUAAGCGAUCGAUCAUCAUCAGGAUUCAGGAGGCCAGGCGGAUCGACGACGACGAGAUGUCGGACUGGGGCCCCGUGGUGAUCGGGCUGGUGCUGUUCGUGCUCCUCUCGCCGGGGCUGCUGAUCCAGCUCCCCGGCCGCCACCACUUCGUCGAGUUCGGCAACCUGCAGACCAGCGCCGUCUCCAUCCUCGUCCACUCCAUCAUCUACUUCGCGCUUAUCACCAUCUUCGUCAUCGUCAUCGGAGUGCACAUCACCACCGGCAACUAGCUAUCUACCUACCUAUAAUAUCAUAUCUCGAUUCAAUCACCACCUUGAUUGCUUGUUGUAGAUUCAAUCAUAUAAAUCGUCGAUCCUAUUCUUCAUUCGCUUCUUUCUUUCUUUCUUUCUUUCAAAUUCAUGCAUCUGUAUUACUACAUCAUAUAUACAUGUCUUCCUACCUACUUCUGACUCCUCUCUGUCCUUCAUCAGCAUACUAGAGUAUACUGUCGUGUAUGUACUAUGUAUAGUACGGUACGGUGGAUAUGUAAAGGCUUUGUUUGUUUGUUUUGUUUUUUGCCCCUCCGAUCCCCUUGCAAAUAAAAGGAUAUCGGACCAACUCUUUACUUGCCUUCUCCAAGCUUCUAGCAUUUCUCUUGUAACAACUAGAAUAUGUAGGAGCAUAUGUAUGUUAUUAGCUUCUAUAUAUAUGUAUUGUAUGAUCCAUUCUUUGAGUAUGCUAAUUACGUCUCUAACUAAGGGUACUUUCAUAACCAUAUAAGUUUUUUGUGGUUUGUUAAGGGAUAGGAUAUAUAUACACUGCUCCCUCCAUCAUAAAAAAAUAAUGUAAUUCUAGGUUUUUAGCUAGUCAAACUUUGUUAAUUAAGUUUUUAGAAAAUAUUAUUUCUCUAAAUAAGUUUAUUAUGGACAUACAUAUUCCACUCCAAUGGUACUUAUUCCACAUUAUAGAAAUUAGGACUUUUUUAUAGAUUGGUCCUUGAAAAGUGAGAAUUAUGUUCUUUUUUGAGACGAAGGACUAUAUAGGAGAAAUUGUAGUGUUAAAUUUUGUGUUAUGGAGAUCAUACGUGCUAUAUUCAAGUCUCUCUCUCUUUUACCUUUUUGCGGGAAAAGGUUGAGCUUAUAUUAAAUAUGAACAGGGUUACAAUUAUCCGCCACUAAGGCUGUCUCCGGAGCCCUCAUGAUCCACACCUUGGAACAGAGUUGUUUACAAGCAUGUUGGCCUAAACCAUGAGCAACCCUAUUACACAUUAUUACAGUGGAUAAACUCAACCCCACUAAGCUCAUCACCGAGCAACUUAGCUUCUUUCAGCUGUAAUGCAAGCUUUGAGCGAUUAUCUUCAUUAGAUUUUAGAGCUUUGCAAAUUGACAGACAAUCUGUCUCCAAAACAACAGGUAGAUCAAUCCAUUGGAUUGCCAAUCUCAAUCCCUCAAUUAGCGCCAUAAGUUCAGCAACUUCGGGAUCUAAGCAAUGAAAGUGAAAUUGGCUUUAAGCAAAUAGAACUGAACCAUGUGCAUCUCUCGCAAUGAUUCCCAAACCAACAAGGCCAUCCUUUAGACAUGCAUCAACAUUUACUUUCACAUACCCAGAUUGUGGCGGUUGCCACUGAGAUUGCAACCGAGGUGCCUCUCCAUAUACCCCAAAUGUUAUAUAAGACAUGCAUGACAUCGAGUUAGGAGGACCAUAUCUCAGGCAUCUUAUUAGUUAGGUCAUGCAUGCAUGCUAUCAUAAUAAUCAACUUAAUUCAAUGCAUGUCUCCCAACUACUACAACCAUAUCUGAGGCAGCUACUUAAUUUCUCAGCAUCCAUCAUCAGCCUCUUGCAAAAUUAAAUAUUCUAUCCUUUACAAAACUUUAUUUGAUAAUUUUGACCUUACUGUUCAAAGUUUGAUAUUUGGUUGCUUCUUCAUAGAUAUAGAUAUACAUACAUACUGCACGAGAGAAUGAAACCAAUAUGUUGUUGUCAAAGUAUCUAAUUUCAACGGAAAAUGUAUUACACUCUUAAUAGUAUUUGAAUUGACUAACAACUAACAUUUGAUAAAUUAUGACAAGUUAAAGGGAUAGUUGUUUUUACAUGGAGUGAGUAUAUAUGUACUACACUUUCAAAAGAAUACUUUCAAAGAAUUAGAAAAGGCCCCAUAUGUUUUUUUUAUUUUACAUAAGAAAUACAUGUUGUGUAGACAUGACAGAGACGUAUAUGAUCGUCCACUACCUAUCUGCUGUACAUGAUGAUGAUGAGACGAUUCUUGUUCACCACUAAAGGAUGAUGAUAUGACUGAAGCUGAACGGUGGUAGCUAUAGCUUGUGUGAAGAUAAGGCUAAGCACAUUAUAUAUGGCUAGGCCUCUCCCUUGCGAAGCAGGAGCAGGAGCAGGAGCAGGAGCACCGUGCAUCUCACUUUCUGCCUUUGGUUUCGAGAACGUGAAAUGUGUUGUCUCCAUUUGCAGUAUAUUUCACUUUCACAAUGAUGAUCUGAUGGCAUGCGUGGCAGCAUAUAUAAUAUAAGCUCUGAGUCUGACGACAUGUAUUUCACUUUCACAAAGAAAAAAAUUUUCUUUUCGCGAACUAAACAAUGCCUUCAUUUCUUCUUCUUUUUUCCUCUAAACAAACAAUUCUGGAACCAAGUGCUAAUAAUGAAUGUCAGCAAGAAAUGCAGUGGCAGAAAACAAAAUGGCAUACAAUAGCUGAUCAGACAAGGGCCUGUUCGCUUGGCACUGGCGAUCUGGCAUAUACUCCAGAUGGCACUGAGCCUGCUGCCUGCAUUCCUAAAGAUAGCAGCAUCCAAGUCCAACAAACAAUUUUAUUAAUAGAAAUAGAGUUGCUAAACAUAGCAUAGCGGCUCUGCACCAUCUGUUUUUUUUAGGCCCUGCUGACCUCUUUCUAUUCUAUAUAGUAAUAGUGUCAUUAUUUAUAGAAGAUUGGUAGUGUCGAAUUCCUUCAUCACUUCCGGUGAUCGAAAAAGCAAGCAGCUAACAUUACAACAGCACCUCGAGGGACGGCGAUGGGCAAGGCAUCAUGGAGGACGCCGUCCUUGGUCGCAUUGGCGCUGCUGGUGGCGCUCCUGGCGGCAGCAACGGUGGCUGCCGCGGCCGAGGAGGAGGGGUCGUCAGCGGCGCCGGCGCCGGCGGUUGCGGAUGCUGAUGCGCCGGCGGCGGCAGACGAGGACACGGCAGGCGGCGGCGGUGACGGAGCUCCGGCACCAGCGCCGGUGAGCGAGGAACCCAGCCACAAGACGAUAGGCGCCAAGGCCAAGGCAGGGCUGCACACCGUCAUGGCGAGCAUCUCCAAGGGCAAGAACAAGUUCGAGUGCAAAGUCCUGGGCCGCCAUUGCCCCGCCUCUGAAGCUCCCUCCGCCCAGUGAUUAAUUAAUAAUUAAUUAAAACAACAACAACAACAAAAAGCCAUCCAUCAGAUGAUCAUAUCCAUCCACACCACACCACACAUUCUUCAUUUGUUCAAUGCAGUGAUCUGCAAUCUUAUCUGUAUGAAUGUAUGAAUUAUUAUGAUCACUCCCCUGCCCUCUUGGUCUCACAAUGCGAGAAGAGAGCAGAUGAGAUACCUAAUAAUGCAGCCAAACAUGGGUACAUUAAGAAUUUAUUGUCAUUUAUAUUCUUGACUUGAUUCUCAUUAAGAAUGCCCAAUCGAGCAAUCAAUUGGCCGGCAGGUGAUUUAUUCAUUUUGAUCAAAGCCGGCAUGUAAAUAUUAAAACAACAAAACAGCAGAGGAAUGUGUAUGAAUCUCACGAGUGAGUUUGCAAAGCGCAAGAAUGACAGGCAGUCAUCAUUCAGACAGAAAUUCUGUGUUUCAAAAGGAAAAAUGUGGCCGAACACAAAAUCCACAAUAUUGGAAUAUAUUAUCUUCUAUAUCAUCAGAGCAGCAAACAGAGUACUCCAUCCAUUCCAAAUUAUAAGAAUCUUUUGGCUUUUCUACAUUCAUGUCUUUUGCCACUAUGUCUAGAUACGUGGCAGAAAAGCCAAAAUAUCUUAUAGUUUAGAUUGGAGGGAGUAUAUAUCUUCUUGUUGCCAAAACGAAAAGGAAGAUUAAAUGUCAAAUUUCUUUGAGAUCCUUAGUUGCAAAAUAAAAGAGACAUAGUUGUUUUUUUAGGAAAAAUAAAAAAUGGCCACGCAUCAUUCUCAGACUUCCAUAGUUCUAAAACCAGGCAUCACUAAGGUUUCCCUCAUAUAGUAGGAGAUAAAACAGGAUAUAUAUUUCCUACGGCCCAAUAGGAGAUAAUAAUGGCAUUGAUUCACUUGGCACAGAAUUCUACCGCCAAUAAACUGAAUAAAAUAAUACAGGUGGCAGGCAUACAUUUGUCUCAUGCAAUGUAUUCUUGUUUCUUAAUUGGGUAUAUCAAGAACAUCCAAUUAAGCAAUUCAUCCGUCAAUUUGGUAUAUAUUCAUUUCGAUCAAAAGACUAUAAAUUAUGAACCAACAAAACAAAAGAAGAAUGUAGAUGACAGGAGUUGCACGGGGCAAGCAAGCACUUGCCUGACAAUAGCUAAAUCACUGUAAGUGAGUUUGCGAAGCACUAGAAUAAAAGCCAGUUUGAGCAAAUGGGACUUAACACAAGACAAUGACAGUAUUCAGACAUACACUCUACGUUCCAAAAGAAACUCAAGGGUAGAAUCAAAGAUUCAAAUACUAGAAUACAUUCUACUGAUCUGAUCAGAUCAGCAAGCUAGAGUGGUGAAAGCAUCUGUAUGUUUUAGUAACAAAAAAUAAAAGGCAGAUUAAGUAUCGACGUCUUAGAGGUCCUUGGUUGCAAUUGCAAAAAAUAAGAGACAUGACCCUUUUUUUUAAGAAAAAAAGGUCACUUGCCUGGCCAGCACCAUUCUCAGACUGAGAUCUAAAAGCAGGCAUCACUAGGCUAUCUCAUAGUCAUGGGAGAUAAACAGGACAAUAUUUUACUAACGCCAGUGAGGAUAUACCAUUGGACCAAUUGAAAACAGCAGAGGAAUGUAGAUGACACGAGUAGCACGGGCAACCAAAGUAACAAUAGCUGAAUCAGAGCAAAUGAAUUUACAAAGCAAGUAAUUAAAGGCAGAUGAGCAAAUGUGUACCUGCUUUACACAUUAUAAUGACAGUAUAGAGACAUAAACUCUAUGUUUCAAAACAAACUCUAUGGUAGAAGCAAAGAUUCUAUCCAGUAAUAUAAUACAUUCACUCUUCGAAUCAGCAGGCUAACUGACAACAUAUAGAGUGCAGAUUUGGUGCCCAGGGGGGCUGGCACCCUUGUUGGCUAAAAUACCAUGUUGCAAUGUUUCAGAAACCAUCACAAAAAAAUCAUGUAUGUAGUACACAUAAAGUUAAGUGUAGAUGCAACAAUUCAGUUUGAAAUUCGUCCUAGAUGCCAAGAAACAAAAUAGACAGGCAACCAACCUGGCACUGUUCAUCAUGCGCUGACAGUAACACUUCUGCUUUUUUAAUCUCAGCAUCAAAGAUGAAUUUCAAUCUGAAUUCUUGUGGAUACACUUAACUUUAGGUGUACUGCAUACAUGAUUUUUUGUGAUGACUUUUGAAACAUUGUAACAUGGUAUUUUAGUCCUUUAGCUAACGAGGGCGCUAUCAGCCUACCACUCUGGGUGCCAUAUGAUUUUUCCAACAUAUAUAUGUUCUAGCUGUGAAAAAUGGAAAGGCAGAUUAAGUGGCAAUUUCUUAGAGAUCCUUAGUUGCAAAAAAAUAAAACUUUUUUUUAAGAAAGACCACCUUGCCUGGCUUCAGGGGCGAAUCCAGGAUGGGGACAGAGGGGGGGAGGGGGGCGCUAAAUAUUGAAGAUUUAGGGCUAGAGCUAGAGAUUAAUGGUGAUUUGAGGCUAAGUAACAGUGAUUUAAGGCAAACAUCAGGCUCGCGAGGGGGGCUGCAGCUAGCACCGUUCUCAGGCUUUCAGAGUUUUUACUAGUGUGCAAAGCACAAGAAUGAAAAGCAGCGUGCAAAUAGGUACGUACUUCUGACAUAAAUUCUGUGUUUCAAAAUAAAAGGUGUGGCCAACGGAAAAAUUGAAGUACUAGAAUAUGUUGAACUCAUUGGAUCAGCAAGCCAGAGUGGCAACUAUAUAUAUGUGUUCUAUUUGCAAAAAGAAAAUGCAGAACAUAUUUCGAUUUUUAGUCGAAGAAAAGGAGAGACAGAAUUCUACAACCCAUGAACUGAAUGAAAUAAUAGAAGUAUAUAUGCAAUGUAUUCUUGUUUCUUAAUUGGCCAAUUAAGCAAAUCAUCCAUCGAUUGGGUAUAUAUUCAUUUUGAUCAAGAGUAUAAAUAAUAAACCAACAAAACAACAGAGGAAGGCAUGAGUUGCACAAAGAAGGCAGGUACUUGUCUGACAAUAGCUAAAUCACUAGUGAGUGAGUUUGCAAAGUACUAGAAUGGAAGGCAGUUGAGAAAAUGGGACCUAACACAAGACAAUGGCAAUAUUCAAUACACACUGUGUUUCAAAAAAAAUGUACGAGCAAAGAUCCGAAUACUAGAAUAUAUUCUGCUAAUCAGAUCAGCAAGCCAGGAAGCCAUGGCAGAAAGUACUGUUGGCUGAUUUGUUAUGAGAGAAAAAUACUGCUGAAUAGGUGGCAGAUUCGGCUGAUAAGCAGCCAGGAAGCCAUGGCAGAAAGCAUGUUUUAGUUGCAAAAAAAGGCAGAUUAAGUGUUGACUUGUUAGAGACCUUUGGAUGCAAAAAAAUAAGAGAGAUGACCCCUUUUUUUUAAAAAAAAGGUCACCUUGCCUGACCAGCACCAUUCUCAGACUUUCAGAGUUCUAAAAGCAGGCAUCUCAUGGUCAUGGGAGAUAAACAGGACAGUAUUUUACAAAAGUAUUCUACAAAAGCCCGUGAGGAUAUAAUAACAUUGGUCCAAUUGAAUAACUCAUCCAUCAAUUGGCCGGAAAUAUAUUAUUCUUUUGAUCAAGUGAGUAUAAAUAAUGAACCAACAAAACAACAGAGGAAUGUAGAUGACACGAGUUGUGGGGCAACCAAAGUGACAAUAGCUGAAUCAGAGUGAAUGAAUUUGCAAGGCACGAGAAUUAAAGGCAGUUGAGCAAAUGUGUACCUCCUUUACACAUGAUAAUGGAGUAGAGAGACAUAAACUCUAUGUUUCCAAAGAAACUCUAGGGUAGAAGCAAAGAUUCUAUCUAGUAACAAAAUACAUUUCACUCUUCGGAUCAGCAAGCUAACUGAUAACAUGUGUAUGUUCUAGCUGUGAAAAAGGAAAGGCAGAUUACGUGGGGCGAUUUCUUAAAGAUCCUUAGUUGCAAAAAAAAAAAUUGGACACCUUUUUUAUUUUAAGAAAGACCACCUUGCCUGGCUAGCACCAUUCUCAAAUUUUCAGAAUUCUAAAAGCACUCAUUAGUCAUUACUAGUGACUUAGUGAGCAAAGCACAAGAAUGAAAAGCAGUGUGCAAAUAGGUACAUACUUCAGACAUAAAUUCUGUGUUUCAAAGGAAAGGUGUGGCUGAAGCAAAAAUUGAAGUACUAGAAUAUGUUGAACUCAUUGGAUCAGCAAGCCAGAGUGGCAACAAUAGUAUGUGUUCUAUUUGCAAAAGGAAAAUGCAGAUCAUAUUUCGAGUUUUAGUCAUAAAAAAAGAAGUGGGGAAGACCACCUUGCCUGCCUGGCACCAUUCUCAGAGUUCUAAAAGCAGUCAUCACUAGCAUUUCGCUCAUGACAGAUAAGCAGAACAAUAUUUCCUAUAGCACAAGAGAUAUGAUAUUGAUCCACUUGGAACAGAAUUCUACAGCCCAUGAGCUGAACGAAAUGCAAAAUAGCAAUGCUGACACUAAUAAAGCAAUGCAAAUCAAGGAAAAGAUGUAAACAGAGGCAUGCACACAAGAGUUCAACAAUAGCCCAAUAAUGAUACCAUAGAACACAGCAAAAAUAUACAGCAUGGCUAGUGGAUACCAUUCCAACACAAGAUCCGAUAUAUCUUUCAGACAAAAACCUUUUCACCAGCAAUUUGAUAUACCAAUUGUAACAAACAUAUGCAAUAUCCCUGGUGCUGCCUCAGGUAGCCCAGUGCAGUGGCAUUAGAAAUCUACAGUGGGUCCCAUGAAAAUCCCUGGUUAUUUGAAUCACCUCAACUCAAAAGAUCAAAAGAAAACGCAGAGUCCGCGUAUCCGCUCACCCCAACUCACAAAGCUUCACGGGCUACUUACUAAUCAGCUUUUGCGGCAGCAGCAGCCUUGACGGCCAUGAGAGCGCACGCCUCAAAUCUCUUGACUGCUUCAGCACACUUGAGCGGGUCCUUUGCGUUGGUCUUGUAACACUCAAGGCAGCCUGCCCUCUCCUGGGUGCAGGGCAUGGGGUUCUGGUACGGCAGCUUGAACUCCUUGUCGUGCAGCUCCUUUGCUCUCUUGCUGAGCUCUUGGCGUGCCCCAGCUUCCUGCUUCUCCAGCUUCUCGAGAACGGACUCGCUUUCUUUCAGGAUGGAGCGGAUGGCUUCCACCUCCGGCAUUGUGGCCGGGGGUGGCGGGGGCGCAGGGGUCACAGGCAGAAACAUUGGGGGAGGCUGCAGAGGCCACCCAGGAGCAGGAGCAGGAGCAGGAGCAGGGCUGCUCGUCUUGGGUUCGCUUGGGAAUUCCGGGGGCUCUUCAUGUGGCUGCACGAUGGGCUUCUUCUUAGGCUUGGGCUUCCUGGCUUUCCGUUUCACCUUCUCAUCAUCGCGAGCAAGCUGGUCGAUGAGCUUGGUGCUGAUCUGGAUUGUGUAGUCACCCAUUGCAGCAGAGACGAGUCCUGCACCAAUAGCAAGCAUAUCAAUGGCCACCUUCACCUUGCAAGAAUGCUGAUCGGAUCCAAUAAUUUUUGCAAAAACUUCAAAGUUAGAAGGAUUGUCAAAUAGCUAAAUCGCUUUAGGUUAGGGUUUCGGUGCUCAGCUUCGCACAGCAUAAGGGAAGGGAAGAGAAAGGGUAGGAGUACCUGGUGGGUGCUCGUCGCCGGCGAAGAGAACAAGGAAAGCCUCAGCACCCGGCGGAGGCGGCGGCGGCAGCGGCCCAACAGUCGUCGGGGAGCGACAGGGUCUCGAGAGAGAGAGGAGGAGGAGGAGAGGAGGAGGAGGAAUAGGGAUGCAGCGGACGGAAGGGGAAGCAGGUUAUGCAUCGCCGGCGGAAAAAAAACGCACGGGCUUCUUGUGGGCCGUUUUUUCAGUUUCUUUAAAAAUUUGUGUUUUUUUUUUCUUUCUCUCCCUUUAUAUUUUUUAUUAUUCUUGUUGAUUAUAUAUAUCUAUUAUAUUGAUUGGACACUAUCAAUGGCUUGGUAUGAACUCAUUAAAAAAAUCCAUGCUCCAAUAAGAACUAAUAAAAAGUAUUGACACUUCAAUAUCUUAUGAAAAAUUUGAGUCUUUCUAGCACUCUCUUUUGAUUUCUAGCACUCUCUUUUGAUUCUAUAAUUUGCUAAGGAUUUUUAUGUUGUAACAGGGUUAAAGAUUAAGUUUAAAAAUACUUUUGUGUUAGAAUUGCCACACUUUAUCGACCUUAAAUAAUCUGGCUAAGCGAGUGUUAUGCUUUAUGGGAAAAAAAUUGCUAAAAAGUAUAUAGCAAGAGUAAAUAAAAAAAAUGCUAGCGCAAAUUGUGAUAGACAUCUCACAUGAGAACAAAACGCGGCCAAUGGCUAAUAACGAGAGAGAAAUAAGGUUGCAUUUUAUCUUUGUUUGCAUUGCCAGGUUGAUAGUUAAUGAGACCCUAACAGUGAUUAAAAUGCAAUUUAAACCAGGAUAACACGAGAGAACAAGUUUAAGAUCCAUCCAUGCACUUUACUCUCAAAACAAUCACGAAACACAAAAAUUGGCAAAAUUCGCUCUUCCCAAUUUCAUGAUCACAUCUCAUCGAACUUGAGUUGCACUAUCAUCAUUCCUCAUCUCAACGGAUUCCAACUAAAAUAUUAAUAAUAAUGUCCAUCCAACUAGACUACCUCCACCUUAUCAUAUCUAUCUUCCCAUCAAACAGCACAGCUUCAGUCCCCACCACAUAAUCCUCGUCUCAUUGUGUUGAGCUUGGCGUGUCCACGCCAUGGAACUUUCUCCCAGCUUCGAUGGCCUCCCUGUUUGUGUGUUUCAUCGACAUGACCAAAAGAUCUUAGCACAAGAACAGCCUGCUAGCAAAACAAAAGGCGUCUUCUGUACAAACCAGGUAAUGCUUCCAAGUUCUAACCUGAAUGCGCUGACAAGCUCUUUGUUCUCUGGAUCCAGCUGCACCCCCUCAUAAAAGGCAUUUGCGGCGUCCUCAAACCUCUGCCAGGAUCACCACAAACAGCAAAUGAACUAGUCAUCAUCUAAACACAAAUCAGUAGUGGUUGAAUUCCCAUUCAAAUCACAGACCAUCGCAUACCUGUAACAGACGAUGGGCUGCACCUUCCCUGUAGCAAGCUUUCGCCCAAUCUGGUCUUAAUGCCCGGCAUGCUUUCGCAUCUUCCAGAGCACGUUCAGCUUGCCCUGCUCGCAGCCAGCAGAGGCUCCUGUUUGAGAGCACUGUUGCAUCAGUUGGGUCCAACUCUGUAGCCUGAAAUGCAAUUCCAUACCAACAUUAGUCUCUUGCAGCUAAACUGACAGCACUCAGGAUAUUGAAGAAUAAUAGUUGGAUCUAAGGUAUGGUUAAAAGCACAAUCCCAGAGUUCAAUAUUGCUGUGCUUUGUCUAUGCGGAAAAAUCAAUCCAUCUUAGUUACCUGCGUAUAAGCAUCCACUGCUACAAGGUAGUCCUUUCUUCUGAAGGCAUCAUCACCUCUUGAUUUGGCUUCCAAGGAUCUUUUCUUUGCUUCAGGUGACACCUGCACAGCAAAUUAACUAACGUCAGAUUUCAAUUUUCAGUUGACAUCAACAAUUAAAUCAAGCCUACCUUUAUUUAAGAUGAUAGAGGCCUGCAGCCCCUGAUUAUAUGUCCUAAUACAUGUAUAUGAAUAGACCUGACUGUCAUUUAAUAUAGUACAAGCCCAGACUGACACCAAAACUAUGUAACAAGUGCAUGACAUACCUCAACAGUUUGUGUUCGGCCUGAUUUCAGAGAUGCUGCUUCCUUCGAUUGAGACUGCAAAGUUUGUUUACCAGUUAGCAGACACAGAGAGCUUUUCUUUUUCUGGUUAGAGGUUUAUGGAUCCGAUGACAAUGCAAAAUAACUAAAAAUCUAAAAUGAGGCACCUUUUCCCCAUAUUCUUUAGGUAGCAUCUGUUCUAUAAUCCCAUCUACGUUCCAGUUUGAAACACCUGGAAUUGGGGAUGUUAAUGGUAAAAGAAGUUCCACAGCUUCCCGGUUAUUUCUCCAAGCAGCAACCUGAACUGGCUUCAGUUCAUCCUGAGGUAAGAAAUCACAUGGCAAUCAAGUUGUAUUCAGUGUUCGUUGGCAUGAUCUGGAUACAAAGACCAAAAGAUUGCAGCAUCUUUAUGGAUAUUUAAAACAGGUCAACAUAUACCAUGAACCUGAUAUUGAAAUUUCAGUAUGACGCUGCUUGUUUUAUUACGAUGAAUACAACUUACAUCAUCGCAGAUAUUCGGGUCAGCUCCAGCUUUAAGCAAACAUUUGAUGACUUCUAUAUUUCCACUAUCUGCAGCAAUAUGCAAAGGGGUUGCUCCACCAGCCUUGACAUUUGGGUUUGCACCAGCCUACAUUGCAUAUUAUUCAGUUAGUUUCUGAGGUAGAAGACAUAGUUGAUCCUCCUUCCAUCCAUAGAUAGAAGGCGCAACUCCUCCAGCACCAAGACCAAUAAACGAUUUGAUUUAUGUGCGUUCUGAGGAGAGCAUUUUGGAUGUCGUGCAUGCAGGAAUGGCCAGCCCAUUCACUCCUCCACACGUGAGAGAGAGAACAUGCAUGCUCUGUGAGUAACGGUCUGUGCAUGUGGUGAGGGAGGCGAUGAGGUUAGCAGACACAGCAGUAAAUGUUGCAUGCACGUGAAUGGUGCCAGGACUCGGCCGCCUUAUAUACUCUGACUAUAGAAAAAAAGUGGUUACACUUGCACCUUCUAUUCACAGACGGAAGGAGUACAAGGUAUUAGUAACUAAGUACAUGGAACAAUAUUGUGCUGCGUGUAUCAGUCAACUAAGCAUUUCAGCCUUCUUCCUUGAAACUCCUAUAUGCCAGCAAACAAGCAUGACAGUUUGCAUUGCGUAAUAUAAAGCAAGACUGGAAAAUAGGGGCACCAGAAAUAUGCUUAAUUUUAUUUAUGCGUGUAUUCCUAUGAAUCCCAAGGGCAUAGGACACAGCUGAAGUAAGAAGAUAUAGGGGGGGGGGAGGGGGAUACAGGUGUUUUAUGCUCAUCAAAUUAGACUAUGUACCUUGAUUAGAACCUCCAAGCAUGGGAGGGAACCUGCAGCAACAGCAGAUAGCAAUGCUGUGACACCAUCAUCGUUUUCAGUAUUUGGCUGCAAAAAGAAAAGAUAUAUAAAAAGAAUUAGCCCAUUUGCAAUGUCAUAGGAAACUUAAAUAACUUCAUGCCAUACUCAGGAAUCACGAUUUAUUUAUUGUGCUCCAGAUUGACACAUUUGGAUCCAGAGAAACAUAUGCAUCUCUUGCAUGGUGGCUUGAACAAUUCAAACAAGUCUAGAUGAAAGAUGUCACUAACGGCAGAUAUAAGUCUGGAAAAGGCAAAGGUUCACAAGUAACGUUUGCUGCACCUACUGGCUUGGCUACAAGAUAAUCAAUUGAUUGUCUUCGACAUUUAUAUUAGUCCCGUUAUACACCUCUGUGCUUUUGUCCUGAUCUUGUAGGUUAGUAACGAACUAGGGGUCUCCUCUAUUGUUCUCCGGACCAAACACGAAAAAGGAAAGAAAGAUUGCUGCAUGUUUUUUGUAGUCAUUGGUUCAGAUCAAGGAGAUAGGGUUGCAAUCAGGAAAAAAUAAAUAAAUGGUCAUGGAGAAGUACUGAGGUGAAUUGACAGCAUCGGAAGAGUUACAUUCACAAAGCUUAGGCAGCCUAAUGUUUGGUGCUAAACUGAAUAUGUAGUCAGCAUGUUUUGAAAGAACAAUCGAAAACUGAGCUCCGAACCAUAUAAUAAAUGUAAGAGGUACGGUACCUUAGCAUUGUGUUGAAGCAGAAGUUUGACAGCAUCCGAGUUGCCAUGACCAGCAGCCCACACAAGGGGAGUGCCAGCGUCGCUUUCUGAUUCGACGUCAACUCCCUUGGAGAGGAGAAGCUUCAUGAGCUCCGUAUUCCCUGCUCAAGCAAAAGAGAUGUUGCUAUACAUGAUUUGGUGAUUAUUGGCUGGUGGUGCGGAAGGGUUGGAGCACAAAGAGGCGCGCAUGUUACCUAUGCCUGCAGCAUGGUGUAGCGCUGUGGCUCCUAGGUUGGUGGCCACCGAAGGAUCAGCUCCAUGGUCAAGGAGGUACUUGGCAGUGUCCAGAUGGCCCUGGCGUGUAGCAUGGAUGAGUGGAGUUUCGCCUGGGGAGGAUGAGGAGUAUACAGAUGAGAUGGCAUAAUGCAUGAUACUACUACACUAGGCAUACAGGAUUACUGGGCCACACAGUGCAUUAUAUACAGUAGAGAUGAAAAUCAAAGCAAAGGAAAACGGAAAUGAUGUAUUGUACUGGGGUACACAGUGCAGUAUAUACAGUAGAGAUGAAAAUCAAAGCAAAGGAAAAGGGGAACGUGGUAUUAGACUGGUAUACUCUGGAAGGUACCAACCAUCAUCGUCCUUUGGGUCGACAGGGAGGCCGAGCUCGCCGAUGAGGAAUUCACAGACGUCGGCGCGGCCCUCGCGCGCGGCGAAGUGGAGAGCAGUGCGCUUGUUGGCGUCGCGCACGGCGGAGGCGACGGAGGCGGCGCCCGUGCCGUCCUCGUCGAGCACCGCGACUAAGCCUGCAGGUAAGCACCGGGUGCGAAGACGGCAAACACGGUGAGGGAGAGAGUUGAAUCGAUGAAGGAGGACAAAGGAAUCUUGAAAUCGAAUUGGCACGUACUCUUGAGAGACUGGAGGUCGCCGGCGCGCGCAGCCUCCAGGAACGCCUGCACUUUGCUCCGAGCUGCCAAUUCCAAGCAAGCAAUGUGGGGAGUUAACCAAACUGAGCGACCGAGAAGCGGGGAUUGUUUCGUUGGAUCUAGUAGAAGCUAGGUACCUGAGAGGGCGGCGGUGGCGUCGGCCUCGGCCUCGGCCAUGAGAGAAGCGGAAGCUUGGGUUUCCGACCGGGGUGGGGUGGGGUGGGGAGGGGGAAAGUGGAGGCGGCGGCGGCGGUGAGGGAGGCAGAUUUCUCAGUCAGGCCAGGCAGAGUCGGGAAGGCAGGAGAAGAGUCGACUCGGGAGGCCGGGCCGAGUCUCUCUCUCUCUUUCUCGUCUACUAGGAACGGAAGGCCCAUUAGAGUUAGAGCCCAUUCCUUAGGCAAGUCUUAAUGAGAUUUCAUCAAAGUUUGAUGAACAUUAAAUAUGCUGAUGUCGCAGUGUAUUAAUGCAGAGAGUCUAUUAAACUCUUCUGCAUUAUUUCUAAAGUAAGAUGGGUUAGAUAUAAAACUCUCCAUUAAAUCAUGUCGAUUUGUUGGUGUUUGACUGAGGCCCAUUUUUUUGUCUACCUAACAUUCUUUUGACAUAAACACAAGGACAAAGGUCAGUAAAUCUAUCAAUUUGCUGCCAAUGUAUGCAAAUCUUCACCAUAGCCAGAUAGUUUUGAUAUAGAGGCACACUCGUUUCGUUUGUAUACAAACUUUUUUUGACGCAAAUAGUGGUACGGUGGAACUCUUAUUACCCACCCGUAUUGCAUUGCUAAUUGCUAUCACCUCCUCCUAUUAUCUAUUCUAGCAGGACAUAGCUAGCUAGCUACAAAAUUUGCUAGUCCUAACUUAAAGCAGAAGCCCUGAGCAAAGUGCCAACCACAGGCAUCCACAGGCCGCCCAAACGGCUCGAGCUUGGGUUUUGUGUCUUCGUGAUAGCUGCUUUAGCCGCCGAUGAUGAUGAUGAGGCCCCAUGUGAAUGGGAUGAUUUCUCCUCAGACGCCCCUUCCCUGUUUCUCGUAUGACGACAUGUUCGGCCAACACCCUCCUGCUCCUGCUCCUGCAAUGCAAACCUCAGUCAAAGAGCAACCAAAUUGUUUGAAUAUAAUAAACACUGAAACGGAUUGGAAAAAUAAAAAAAGCUCCAACCGAACCGAACCGAACCUGUGAUACCGUCUCAGGCCCUUCAGCCGCAGGUGAAACCUGCAUGGAUGUCUCUGCUCUAGGCGAUUCAGCUACAAGUGAAACUGGCGGCUCCAGAGCUAGACGAGGCAAACAAAUAGCCUGUCGUAGGGGGCAACAAAACAAAGUCAACAAGUGAAACCAGUCUGACUAGGAAAAAUGCCGGACAAGGUAUAAAUAAAUAAAUAUAUAUAUAUAUAUAUAUAUAUAUAUAUAUAUAUAUAUAUAUAUAUAUAUAUAUAUAUAUAUAUAUAUGACUCUUUAUUACCCUCCCAACAAUUCGAUCUGAAGAGGAAUCCAUAACUGCAGGAAUGGAUGACGACGACACCUGAAACUCAAAACGCCUAUUAAGAUCAGAAGAGAACCAAAGGAUGGGCUUAACUGGUAAUAAAGAGUUUUGAGCAAAACACAGCACUUCAGAUCACACGAGCAGCACGCUGCAUGCCAUAAUAAGUGACUUGCCUGACGAACAUUGGCAUUCUGGCUAGGUUCCAUCUUUAGGGUGAACUCACAUAAGUGAUUUAUUCCAUCUACCGUUUGAUCCUACCAGGAUUUGUAAUCAGAUAACGUUAGGCACAUGUACAACCUGUAAAGGGAACUGUGGUGUUAUGAUUUCUCCUUACCUGAGAGCUUUCAAGACGCCCCAUCUUGGAUUCCUGCAAGAUUUAUAUACAGGGAGCAUGAUUUCUAUCAGUAUGUGAUACUUAUAUCCUCAACAAGGUACAAAUGUUCUAGUACAAGGUCCCUACCAGAGUUCGAACUACAAGAUUGACUGAUUGCAAAUCCUCCUGGAAAGCACUUAGAUCUCCAUGUAUGAUUCCAACCUACAGGUCAAUAAGCUCUGCAUGAUUAUCCACCUUCCAAAUACAUCAAAACCAGAUAAACAAAUAAUUCUAUGCUGCAAUAAGGUUCCACCUCAUCCCUUGUGCCUUCAAUAAUCUGCUGGGUUUCAUCUAAACUAAUAUCCACACGAUCAAUCCUCCCAGCUAGAUGUUUCCUUGUAACCUGAACAGUAGUAACUAGAGAAUUAUGAAUAUGUUUUGGUUGGCAAUAAAACUGAAAUUCCGGUGAUGUAAUGCAGUCUCUGAAUGUAGCGCAAGUGAAAAUGGAAACAAACAAUUUAAGAAAAAACUUACAACAACAGAGUCUGAAACUUGAUCCAAAUGGCUGCCAACAGCAGUGCAAGCUUCAGCUAAACCACGUUUUGUCACAAACAUCAUAUCAGAGAGUUUCCAUCCCUGUACAUUAAUGCCCAAACUUUAGAUACUAGUAGCUACCAUUAUUAGUCAAACAUGGCGUUUAACUGGUAAGAAAGGGGCUGUAACAAUAAUACAAUAUAUGCAGUUAUUAUGACCAGGAUAUUAUAGCUGGCAAAAACAUUAGCUGAAACUAAAUAGUAUUGAAUGGUAAUUUAGCAUUGAUGAUCUGUACACUUCCAUCCAUAAACUAAGAGAACCUUACCUUCCACUUUAUAUAAGCAUAGCCGAUAGCCCCAGCAACAACAAUGGCUGUUAUAGUAUAUGUGUUGGGUCCUACAGGAGGAGGUAAGAUAACAAUUAUUCAGGGCUCGUUUGGAAACAAAAUAAUCCCGUCCAAUCCAUAUACGUAACGAAAAGAAGCUGGUGACGAAGUUAGUUCCACUAAUCCAUAUGUUUUUGGGAGGGAAUGGGUUUGUCAAAAGAAGCCCUCCAGGACUCUGAUAAAUAUACUGUACAAAUUACAAAGGAGUGGCAGUUAUUGAGCCCUGUUUGUUUAAUGGGAACAGUCUUAAAGAGAUCAAUACCAAUAAAAGCAAUUGAAAUAGCAAGGAAGCAUGAGAAACAUGCAAAAGUUAUAAGAAAAAAUAAGCAUUACAAGCAUCUAAAAACUUAUGAGAAUGUAACUCCCAUUCACAUCUGAUGCACGUUUUAUCUGGACCUAUACACAAAAGCCAUUCGCCGUUAACUUUGCGUUUGUGAAAGUUCAAUUGGUUACAGUCAUAAACCACAACUAGUAGAUGCAGAAUCCACAGUGCAUCAGUGCAUGGAUAUCGUCAAUAGAAGCCAUAAGCAAAGCACUGACCAGAAUUCGCAGCUGCUGUUACUAUUGUAUUUGGUGUUGUGGCUAGGGUCUGUAUCUCCUCCCUGAGAUUGUUGAUCUGAAAUAUAAGAGAUCCCAUUAAUCAUCAUAUCUAGACGUUUAGAAUUGUCCAUGUAGAGCCAGACAAAAGUUAACAUGUUGACGCACAAACCUGAGAUAGCAACUGAUUCUGAUCGCUGCUGCCAGACUUUGUUGUGGCACCGCCUUCUUUCCCAUGUUUCUUCACAAACUGUACAAGACAGACAGACAAGCACAAGCAAAGCUAUGAACCCUGUUUCUAUUCCUUGAUAAGGGUCAAUCUGACCAAGAAGGUAACAAUGUAAUACUAUACUACCUCGGUGGCUCCAGAGAAUACAUCCCCCAGUUUAGGAAGUUUGGCGUCACCCGUGAGAACGGAUCCAGCGACCCCUGCAAGCAACAUUGAACAUCUGGACACGUCACUACUUGCAGAUAACUGUGAUUUUACUAUGAAGCAACAGGUUGCAAGAUGUGAUUGUAAGCACGCGCUGCAAGAUCAUUGUUAUCUAGGAAAAGUAGAUGGAGAAGCACUAGAGAAUCCUUCUGAUUUCACCAAUACUUAAUAGCAAGUGGAGGGACGUGCGUACGGCAGCAGACGAAUUAACGUACCUGCCACCAUGAUCCAACCAGGACCUAACGCAGCAAAAUAGUACAACAACUACUCGUGGCAAAUUAAGCGAGCAACCUCUAGCACAGGGAUGAACUAAUAAUAGCUAAGGUAGAUUGGGUGUAGCCUAGGUCAUGAGACGCCCCACAUCUGCUAGUUGUCGUUGUUACCACAGACUGCUUCAAAUUCCAAUUCAAUCUAGCACACAAUCUCGAUCAACACACCGCCGCGCCGCGAAAUUAAAAGACGGAGCAAGGAGAGAAGCGGUUUGAGGGUGGGGAACGGCAGUGACGACGAACCGGAGCCGAGGAGGAUCAGGACACCGCCGAGCACCAUGGGUGAGGCCGGAACGUGAACCGCCGGCGACGGCGAGCGAACGAUCUGCUUACCGCAGCGGCGGCGGCCGCGAUGGCGAUCUAUCUAUUUAUUAGUCCGACCCCGACUGUUCAAAUUUCCUCUAUCAAAUCAAACUGCAGUACUUAUAAUUCUCUAUCUCUACUAUUUAUUUAUUUUCUUGUUAUUAUUAUAUGAUAUAUAUAUAUAUAUAAUUGGAUUUAUUAGUAGUACUAGUUACAACUUUUUAAUAAAAACGCCCAGCCCAGCCCGUUAAUCAGAUCUGUUGGGCUGGAUGAUUUUCCUAUUUUUUUUUUUUUGUUACAGCAUUUUCUUAUGAAAAUGAAUUAUAAAAUUUCUAUAUAAUUCCUGUAAAAGAUUUGGAUUCUAAAAGAGCCCAUCGUCUGAUCUGAUACUAGGAGCCUGCGUGGGUAGGGACUAGGGACGGUAGGAUGGGCUUGGCUGGCUUGGGGUAACAAGAUGAGUGAGUGAAAUGGGCUUGGCUGGGCUGUUUGUCCAUACAUUCAUGCUUGGCCCACUGGUCCCUCUUCACUCUUUUCUUUUUUCUUUUUUGAUUGAAGAAUAGAUAUAGGAGUACAUAUUUGGGUUGGGACCAUACGGUACAUAUAUAUUAUUAUUAUUACUAUUACAUCAGUAAGUAGUAGAUGUAAACGGAUGUUCGUUUCUACGAGACACGACAAGUAGGUAAUCCCUCCACAUUGUACAUGGAUAAGAAUACAUACAUACAACAAUGUGUGUGAGAGAGAGGCAACAACUUGGUAUUAGCACUCGCACCUUAUAUAUGAGCACAACUCUGAACUGAGUCACUGGCCAUCGUCUUGUUUGUUGGUAAAUAAAAGUAGUAAAUUGAGAAACUAUUCUGUUUCCAUUUUGGGUCCUUGUUUAGUUUAAAACUUUUUUGUAAAAUGAAUAUUGUAGCACUUUUGUUUGUAUUUGACAAAUAUUAUCUAAUUAUGAACUAACUAUGAUUAAAAGGUUCAUCUCACAAAUUACAGGUAAACUGUACAAUUAAUUAUUUUUUAUCUAUAUUUAAUACUCCAUGCAUGUGUCACAAGAUUCGAUAUGACGGGAAUUUUGCAAAAAAAAAAUGGAAUUAAACAAGGCCUUGACAAUGCUAAAAAGGUAUACAAAUGAAUUUCCCCUCUAUUUUAUUUAAAAUAUAAUUAGUUAUAAAGAAAUGAGAGCAUCAUCCUAUAAUAUAAAUAAGGCUAAUUUUGUCAUGGAAUACCUGACAAACGCCGGAUCACAUUGGCAGAUAUUAGUAGUAGCAGUAUUGGUGUUUGAUUCAAGGUGUUAAAGUUUAAUAGAUAUUGUAGUUUUUUCGUUUUAUUUGAUAAUUAGUAUUUAAUUAUGGACUAAUUAAGCUCAAAAAAUUUAUCUUGAAAUUAAUCUUUAAUUGUUUUUUAGUUCAUAAAUAGUCUAUAUUUAGUAUUUUAUGUAUAUAUCUAAAUAUUUGAUAUGAUAGAAGUUGAACUUUACCGACCCAAACCAAACAAUGCCUUAAAAGAAAAAGAGAGAGAGGACGUGGCAGUAUAAGACCUUGUUUAGUUCACACAAAAACUAAAAAGCUUUUUAAGAUUCUCUGUAAUCUUACGACAUAUGCAUAAAGUAUUAAAUAAAAAUAAAAAUAAAACUAAUUGUAUAAUUUAUUUAUAAAUUAUAAGAUGAAUUCUUUGACUCUAUGAUUGGACAAACAAAACCAUGGGCUUUGUUUAGUUCCAAAAUUUUUUGCAAAAUCGACACUGUAGCACUUUCGUUUGUAUUUGACAAAAAUUGUCCAAUCGUGGACUAACUAGGCUCAAAAGAUUCGUCUCGUCAAUUUCGACCAAACUGUACAAUUAGUUUUUAUUUUUAUCUAUAUUUAAUACUCCAUGCAUGAGUCUAAAGAUUCGAUGUGACGGGGAAUCUGAAAAAUUUUGCAAAAUUUUUUGGGAACUAAACAAGGCCCAGAGGAGGGUAGAAAUGGCAAAACGCACUCUUCCCGCCAAAACACCCACCUCCGCUGGGGCUUGGGCGAUGCACUGCACCUGCACUGCACCCAUGGGAGAAUCCCAAAGAGGCAACAGGGCCCACUCCAUAGCUGUCGUCCACUUCCUUGACCGCUCAGACUUCUGCACGCACGCAGAGCCAAAAAAAACAUCUCUUCCGCUCUUCCCCUCCGUCAAAAUUGUUUUCACACACGAUCUCCUGCCCAAAAUACAAGACAUGUUAGUUUUUUAUAGCACUAAGGCCUUGUUUAGGUCCAAAAAUUUUGCAAAAUUUUUCAGAUUCUCCGUCACAUCGAAUCUUUAGACGUAUGCAUAGAAUAUUAAAUAUAGAUAACAAUAAAAACUAAUUGCACAGUUUGGUCGAAAUUGGCGAGACGAAUCUUUUGAGCCUAGUUAGUCCAUAAUUGAACAAUAUUUGUCAAAUACAAACGAAAGUCCUACUAUUUCUAUUUUACAAAAAAAAUUAGAAGUAAACAAGGCCUAAAGAUAAAAAGUUUUUAAUAUUUAUUUUUAGUCUUUUUCAACAACAAAAUUUAAAGACAACUUUUAUUGGAUAUUUAGAUUUAGGUUAUACCUCUUCUAACACGUAGAGUAGAUCUUGUAUAUACGUAUUUUAACCCGUUUUAUAUUUAGGCCUUGUUUAGUUCCAAAAAAUUUUGCAAAAUUUUUCAGAUUCCCCGUCACAUCGAAUCUUUAGACACAUGCAUGAAGUACUAAAUAUAGACAAAAAUAAAAACUAAUUGCACAGUUUGGUCGAAAUUGACGAGACAAAUCUUUUGAGCCUAGUUAGUCCAUGAUUGGAUAAUAUUUGUCAAAUACAAACGAAAAAGCUACAGUGUCCAUUUUGCAAAAUAUUUUGGAACUAAACAAGGCCUUAGAUUCCAUAAUAGAGCUUUGUUUAAUUCACUAAAAUCUAAAAACUUUUCAAGAUUUCUCAUUACAUUGAAUCUUACAGCACAUACAUGAAGCAUUAAAUAUAAAUAAAAAAACAACUAAUUGAACAAUUUGUUUGUAACUUGCGAACCGAAUAUUUUAAAUCUAGUUAGUUCAUGAUUGACAAUAAUUAUUAAAUACAAACGAAAGUGCUAUAGUAUCAAUUUUAAAAAAAAAACAGAUUAAAGAAGGUCUAGGUCUCCCCCUUACCGCUAUCAUCAAACAAUCUUCUAUUGAAAAAGAAACUAAAAUAUUCAUUGGUCUGAAAAAUUAUAGCUGAAAGUACCGUUCGUUCACUGAUUUAUUGUGAGAGAAAAACACUGUUGACUAGUAUAAAAAGUACGGCUUAUAUGGUUUGAAGUUAUUUUUCUUUUGAUUUUUUUAUAGACCUAAUCUUUAUUUAAAUAAACCUUCCAUCAUCUAAGAGGACCCUCCUAACUUAUCGAUAAUCAUAAGAAUUUAUGAUCCUGGUUAAAAUGGUAUUAAGGACUUAUAAACUGUCUUAGGUACGUCCCAACGACACAUGUUCACGUACCAGUAGAGUACUCCCUUUCUAAAAGCUUCAGUAUUAUAAUUGUCUUAAGUCAACUUUUUUUUUAAACUUUGACUAAUUUUUCUAGAAAAAAUGCUAAAAUUUAUAAACCAAAUUAGUAACAUUAAAUUUAUCAUAGAAUACAUUAUACUCAUUUUAUACUAUAGAUAUUGAUGAUCUUUUCUAUAAAGUUAGCCAAACUUAAAAAAUAAUUUACACAGAUUCUAGAAAUUGAAGCCUUUAAGAACAAAGGAAAUACCUCUCUAUUCAUCAAAUUAUAUAAGUCUUUCUAAUACAUUUGGAGAAUCAAAACGUAACACGUUUGAUGGAUUGUAUAUAAUAAAAUAAUAAUAUUUAUCGUAUCAAAUAAAUAUAUUGGAUUUUUUAUUUAUUGUAUUUUCAUAAUAUACCAUAUGUGCAAUUUGCGGCACAUGUAUAGAGCAUUAAAUAUAGAUAAAAAAUAACUAAUUACGUAGUUACCUGUAAUUUGUCAGAUGAAUUUUUUGAACCUAGUUAGUUCAUGGUUGAACAAUAAUUAUCAAAUAUAAACGAAAGUUCUAAAGUAGCCGAGACUAAAAAAUUUCUAAAAACUUUUCAAGAUUAUCUGUCACAUCAAAUCUUACGACACAUGCAUAAAACAUUAAAUAUAGAUAAAAAAAUAACUAAUUAUACAAUUUACUUUUAUUGUGCGAGAUGAAUAUUUUAAGUUUAAUUAGUAUAUAAUUGAACAAUAAUUACUAAAUACAAAUGAAAAAUACUAAAAUAGCCAAAUCUAAAAAGUUUUUAGAUUUUAGAAAGCCCUAAACAAGGCAUGAGAGAAAAACGAAAAGAGGAUUCAAAAGGAUCCUCAAUGUGUGUUUUCUCUUCGUUCUAAGGGUCUAUUUGACGGGGCUUCUUUCUAGCUUCAGCUGUGGCUUCUCUAAAGAAGCUCUGCUAAAUGUUUAUGUGGAGAAGCCGUUUUCUUAAAUAAAAGCAGAGAAGUCACAACCGUUUUAGCGAAGUCCUAACUCCUCUACGGGAGCCCCUCGUAAGAGGCCCUACAAACAGCCUCUAAAAUCGUACACAUAAUAUAUCAUGUAUAGAUAUAUAGAUAUAUAAGUAUAAUUCAUGUAUAAAAAAGCUAAACUGUAUUUUAAUUUUCAUUUCGCCAUAGCAGGAGAAAAAAAAAUACUAGUAUUAGUCCUUGAAAAGGCAGGGCAGGAAGAAAGAAACGGAAAAGAGUUUUUUUAAUUGUGUAAUAAAAUCCCGCAAAAAGGGUGUGACUCAUGUGAGCAAGUAAAAAGGCCCCGGAUUUCGAAAAAAAAAAGGGGGCCCAUGCCUCACACGUCUAGCAGUAGUACAUACACGGUGCUGCAGCACUCGGCGCACUAGUGGACGGAACGGCGGUGCCUGCCUCUGCUGCUGUGUCCUCUUCUCUUCUCUCUCUUCCGCGAUUCCCGAGACAAAAGCCCCUCCCCUCCCACUCCCACACCCAGUGGCAGUAGUGCAGGGCACUGGGCUGGCUGGGGCACGCAGCCUCUGCGAGGCCUCCGCCACCGCCACCACAACCACACAAUUCUUUCUCCAUCGCAGCGUCACCGUGCCUGCUCCCGUCGUCUUCCUCUUUCUCGCGUGCACGCACACAGACAAAGGCAGGGAACCAAACCAUUUCUUCCCCCAAAGCCCCAAACCAAAACCCCCCUUUUCUCUUCCCCACCCGUGACGCCGGCGGAGGCCCCGCCGGAUCGCGGCGCGCAAUGCCGUUGCCGCCGCCUCCCGCCUUCCUACCCUUCCUCCUCCUCUCCCUGCAGCUGCUGCUGCUGCUCCCGGCCGCUACCACUUCCACCACCCGAACAAAUGCCACCCUCCCGCUUCCGCCGCCUCCACCACCGCAUCCUCCCCACCGCCACCACCACACCGCGUCUCCUCGCGCCCCGCUGACGCCGCCGCCGCCGCCCAGCCUGACCCCUCCUCCGCCGCACCCUACACCCUCUCCCGUCGCCGUGCCGCCGGCUCAGGCGCCGCCCCCGACGCCACAGCCCACGCCCACGCCAGCGCCGCCGGUCACCACUUCGCCGACGCCCAAGUACCCGUCCUCCUCCGCCACUCCCUCCACCGGGGAUCCAUACCCCUUCACCAACAACCCCUUCUUCCCAACAGCCAACUCGCCGCCGCCGCCAACGCCAGCCGCCGAGACACAGCCCUCCGGUGACGGCGGCCUCCCGACGUUCCCGGCCAACAUCUCCACCCUGGUCGCCCCGACCCCGCGCGCCUCCGGCUCCCACCGCUUCCCCGUGCUCCAGGCGCUGCUCCUCUCCCUGCUCUCCCUCUGCCUCCUCCUCCUCUCCGCGCUCCUCUCCAUCCACCUCGUCCGCCGCCUCCGCCACCGCGGCGGCGGCCGCUCCGGCGCCACGGCGUCCUCCGCCUCCGCCGCCCACCGCCGCGCCGCAAGCAACCACGACGACGACGAUGACGGGGACGAGGAGGGACGCAGCCUCAAGCCGCCGCCAAUGCCCACCUCCUCCACCAACCCCAGCACCGAGUUUCUCUACCUCGGCACCCUCGCCACCCCGCCGCCGUCGGGACCGCAGCACCCCGGGACCAGCUCCAAUCUACGCCCUGGCUCGCCGGAGCUCCGCCCUCUGCCGCCGCUUCCGCGCGUCGGACCGCCGUCCGGCGAGUUCGCAUCCCGCAGCUCCGCCUCCGACCCCAGCACCGUGCCUCCCGCCGCCGCUGCCGAUGCCUCGUCCUCCUCGCUCUCUCCCUCCUCGCCGUCGGCUUCCUCACCCACGCUCGGCUCCAGCCCCGUCCAUUUCCGCCCGCCGUCCAUCCCGCAGCCGCGUGGCCGAGCUCCCAAUCCGUCGCCACCUAAACGGAGGCCGUCGCCGCCCAAGGGUGCUGCGGAGCCCGUGGCGGCGCACGCGUGGAACCCCUUCGUGCCGCAGCCGCCGCGACAGGCAGUUGCUUCGUCAGAUGAUGGUGACUCCGAUCAGAUGAUGGACCUGCGCAAAUCGCGGCCUUUGCACUCGGACAAGCUCAAGCCAGGCUCUUUGCAGUAAGACCAAAUCUUCCCGUUCCCUCCUCUUCUUCUUGCAGAUCCGAUUCGAUUUCUUGAGUUGCCUCUCUUUGCCCUGUGUGCUAUAGCAUGAAGGACGAGGUGAUUCAGCUAUACCUCAACAACUCGGCGGCCCUUGCGACACCAAGGGAGGUGUGUUUGUUUGGUGCCCUCAGGUGUCAUGGCAUCGGCAUGAUUGUGGGGGCAUUGGGAGUUUCCAAGGAGCAACUGAGGGAUGCACUCUUGGAAGGUAUAUAUAGACUGAUCUUUCCUCCUAUCAUCAGUCAACCCAGGUUGAGUUUUCUCUGAAUAAUGCUGACAAAAUUGCAAUCUUUGUUCCACGAAAGUACUCUAGUGUUUAUUACUUGUGGGGGGACCUUCAAAUUGGUGGUUGUGCCAUUGACCAUGUUUGUAGCAUCACAUGGUGCCUUGUUGAUUAUUAUGAGUUACAUGAAUGAUUGUCUCUGAUAAACGUUGGGGCCUUACCAAUGGGCCACACGUCAUAUGCCCCUCCUACUGUCAUACGUUUUGAAAAACCAGAGUUACUCAGCCCAGUUUCAUUUUAGGUGCAUUGUCUAUCUAUUUCCUAGAAAGAGAUCGCAUUUAGGGUACCAUUGGAGCGUUUUGUUGUCCAUGUGUUUAGCAUCUUCAUGGGACAAAGUUGUCUUUUCAAGGGUGCACCACUCUUCGUUUUGCAUGUCAUAGCAAAUCUGUUUUGGUUCCGUGUAGUUGAUCAAUUACAACUUUCUCCAAUCCGUCAUGCUAUGCCUUUAUGUGGUACCGUAUAUUCUAUCGCUACUAACUGUAGCAUAUUUCUGGUUGCUGGGUACAGGUAAUGCACAUGGUUUGGGAGUGGAAGCCUUGCGGAUGCUCACUCAGAUGGUGCUCAGCAACGAAGAAGAGCUUAACCUCAAAUAUUUCAAGGACGAUUCCCUGACCAGACUUUGCCCAGUCGAUGCUUUUUUGAAGGCAAUGCUGGAUGUUCCGUUUGCGUUCAAGCGAGUGGAUGCCAUGCUUUACAUUGCCAGUUUCUAUUUGGAGAUCAAUCAACUGAGAAUGUCUUAUGCUAUUCUUGAGGUAAUGCCGUGUUCUUGAGAGAAAUACAACACAAGACAUAGAUUGCUUCUGCUGAAAUGAUGUCACUUAUUAGUGAUUUUACCUUCUUUCGACUAUCAUGUGUUCAUAUCUGAAUGUUUAAUCCGUUUUAUUUAUUUAUUCAUCUAGGGGGCUUGCCAGGAGAUGAGAAACAGCAGGCUGUUCCACAAAGUCCUUGAGGCAGUUGUGAAUUUCGGCAAUUUCAUGAACACCAAUUCGGGGUCUCCAUGUUCAAAAGGCUUGGAGCCAAACACUGUUCUGAAGAUAGCUGAUGUGAAAGGAGCUGAUGGGAAGGCUGCUCUCAUGCAGUUUCUUGUCCAGGAAAUUGUGAAACCUGAAGGAUACAAUGUGAUGGAGGAUGGUUCAGGUACAUGCAAGAUGAAUGCAAGCAUUCUGCAGUAUGAUGCCGAAUGCAGGAAGCACGGCCUUGAGAUUGUCACCAAACUUGCAGCUGAGCUGAGCAACACGAAGAAAGCCACGUCCAUUGACAUAACAAGGCUGAGCCGAAGCGUGUCGGAGCUUGGAAUGGGGCUUGGGAAGGUCCAUGACGUGGUGAGGCUGAACAGCAUGGUUACCUCUGCUGAUAGCGCUCGGCGUUUCCACAAUACCAUGAGCACAUUCCUGAGGCAUGCCGAGGAGGAGAUCCUGAAGCUCCAGUCUCAGGAGAGCAUCUGCUUGUCGUCAGUGAAGGAGAUGGCAGAGUGGUUCAUUGGCGUGGAGUCAGGUAACGAUGAAGCUCACAUGUUCAGAAUUUUCGCUGGAGUGAGGGAGUUCCUAGCUAUGCUCGACCGGAUCUGCAAGGAGGCUGGGGAGGUGAACAGCAACAACUGGGUCGGCGCGACAACGGCGAGCUGGAUGGCUGCGCCCAUGGGGAUGACGCCUUAAGCUGCAGGAGCUGCCUUGGCAAAAUCUGUAGCUGUCCUUUUUGUAGAAUAUCAUAUCCAAUCGAGCUAUUUGGACAAGUAUGGUUCCUAGUAUUAGCAGUAGAUGAGAACAAUGUUAUGCUAUGUUAAGCCUAUGCCUCUCUCUAUAUAAAUAUCUUGAUAAUGUAUGCUGGACACCCUGGCUAUUGUAAAGUUUACUGUUACUGGUAAUGAUGUUGUUGGUUUGCCGUCUUCCCCUGAAUGGUGCUGCUGUCUUCCUGUCAAUGGAGCAGCCUGCUACUCCAACUCCAUUGGUGAUGGCCCUGCUUCUGAAUUCUGAUAGUUUGGGCUCAUGGAUGUCUCGGUCAGAAUUUUGUGUGAUGAUGACAUGGUCCAUUAUUUGGUUGUUUAGGCAAUAGACGAACAACUUUUUUUUUUCUGUUUUUUUUUGUUCAUUUUUUUGUGACGUGCUUUUGAUCUGCAACAGCAAGUUGGUUUGUAUCGGUGCCAGAUUUACAAGUCAGAUUCUGAAGUCCUGAAGUCGUCUUCCUCCUUCGCCUCCAAGCAAGCAGCCAAAGUAGUCGCCGGCAGUGGCCCCCCGCUCCCCCGCAGUGGCUGAGACACAGAGAGAGUUCUGCAGAGACUAGCGACGAUGGCGCCACCAUGCCCCGAACCCUAACCCCACUCCACCACCAGCCAUGGGAUCCCAGCCGCCGGCCUCCCGCGUGGCCCUGGAGCCCCUCGCCACGCUCGACCCCGCCGCGCUCGCCGGCCUCCCCGUCUCCUCCCCGCUCACCGUCCGCUCCGCCGCGCUCUCCGGCCACCUGCUCUACCUCGGCACCGGCGGCGGCAAGCUGCUCCUCUUCUCGCUCCAGGAUCCCUCCUCCCCCGAGUUCCUCCGCCUCCUCCCCAUCGGGGCCACCCUCCCCGUCUCCGCCAUCGUCCCGCUCCCCUCCGUCGCCCGCCUCCUCGUACUCGCCGACGGGCUCCUCCUACUCGCCGACCCGCUCCUCUCCCGUCCCGUCCGCCGCCUCGGCUCCCUGCGCAACGUCGCGGCCGUCGCCGCCCGCCGCGUCGACCCCGCCGACCCAUCAUCAUGCUCCGUCGCCAUCUCCGUCGGGAAGAAGCUGCUCCGGGUCGACCUGACGCUGCACGACGCCGACGAGCUGGAUGUGCAGACGCGCGAGAUCACCUCUGUCGAGGGGGUCAAGGCGCUCGCUUGGGUCGACGACUCUGUCUUCGUUGCCACCGCCACUGGGUACUCCCUCUACUCGAGCACCACUGGCCAGGGUGUGGACAUAUUCUCCCUACCAGAAUCCUCCGGUCACCCAAGGGUGAAGCCGCUCUCUGGAGGUGACGAGGUGAUGCUCCUGGUCGACAAUGUCGGUGUCGUGGUCGACAGAUUUGGUCAGCCGGUUGGAAGCAGCUUGGUGUUCAGCACCAUGCCCGACUGCAUAGCUGAGGUGUUCCCCUAUGUGAUUGUUGCUGGGGACUCCAAGGUGGAUGUGUACAGGAGGAGAAACGCUGCACACCUACAGACUAUUCCGGUUGCAAGGACUGGUCAAGGCAUUUUGAUUGUGGUUAGUGAUGAUGAUGGGAUCGGCACGGAGCUAGUUGUGAUUGCUACGACUUAUAAGGUAACGUAGGUACGUCAACUCAUCCGUUAUUCAUUUGAACUUCUGUAUCCACAUACUAUUAGUGUAUUUUCAAUUAGUGUUAUGCGGUGCCACAACUGUUGGAAAGAAAAUAACUUUACAUUACAUUGCAUCCUAAAUAGAUGUAGUCUCCCAAGCACACAGGACUAGAUGAGCAGGAAAGACUGCCUAUAUGAAUUUGGCAUGGGUUGAUAGCUAAAGGGUGUACACAACUGUGGUUGGCCUUUGGUUUUACUUUCACAAGGACGGACAGUAGGUUACCUUGUAGAAUCAUAAUGUUUGUAUAUAUAUACUAGUUAUAAGUUGCAUAAAUAAGGUUAGCCUUUUACAUUCCCUGUACAAUUUUAGUACCAUAUGUAUAGUUAUCUAAGAUUCUAAUGUAAAGGAAAGGCUAAUAGUACUAUAGUAGUCGAAACUGAGAAUGUUUAGUCUGGCUCUAAUUUACGCAGAUUAUACUUAUGUUACACUGAUAUAGGAAUCAAUUGGCUUAUCCAGGUUUUUUGCUACCGUAAAGUAUCUGCAGUGGAGCAGAUUAAGGCAUCUUUACGAAGAAAGAACUACAAGGAAGCUAUUUCUUUAUUAGAAGAGUUUGAGUCAGAUGGUGAAAUUUCAAAGGAAAUGAUCUCCUUUGUCCAGGCACAACUUGGAUUUUUGUUGUUUUUUGACUUGCGUUUCGAGGAUGCUGUAAAUCAUUUCUUGUUAUCGGAGACUAUGCAGCCAUCAGAAGUAUUUCCAUUCAUUAUGCGGGAUCCCAACCGUUGGUCAGAUCUGGUAUGCUACAUUGCCACUUGGUAGCUGGGAUGUAUAUGAGAUAAAAACUGUUUUAGUUCCGUUUCUAAAUUAGUUGUGUACAUCACAGUUUGUGUUCCACAAGUAGUUUCUUGUCACGUUGUCUUAACCUAUUUCUUUUCAUGAUGAAAGUUCACUCUUAAUGCUUACAUUGAGCUCUUAAAAUGAUCCAAUAAAUCUGAAUCAACUAUUAAAAUCUCUAGAUGAACCAGCUUGACCCUAUUUUAGCACAAUAGUCAUAGAUAGGAACUUGUUGAGCCUUACUGAGUUAGAGUAUUUAUGAUUCCUCAACUCAUUCGUUCAGUUUAUGACGAGUCAGUUUUUCCUUCAUGGCUCUUUUGGCACUUAAGACUGAUUAUUAUUGUACCCUAUGUCCGUACCUACUGAUUAUAAGCUACAGAGAAACCAAACAAUCUUUCAUACAUUUAGCUACUUGUUUCUAAUAGUAACCAUUAACAAUUAUAUCCAUUAGGUGCCAAGAAAGCGGUAUUGGGGUUUGCAUCCACCCCCUAAGCCCCUUGAAGAAGUUAUUGAUGAUGGUCUGGUAGCUGUUCAACAGGCAUUGUUUCUGAAAAAGGCAGGUGUGGAUACAGUUGUGGAUGAAGAUUUCCUUUCAAAUCCACCAAGUAGAGCUGAUCUUUUGGAACUAGCAAUCAGAAAUAUUAUCAGGUAUGGUAUACACACGGGUUAUAUUCAUUGUAAUCACUGGGAAGCCACGUCUAUCCUCAACUAUCUUAAUGCUGAAUGAAUCUAGGUACCUUUGUGCAUCGCGGAUGAAGAAUUUAUCUUCUCCAGAGAUGGAAGGAGUUGAUACUCUUCUAAUGUAUCUUUAUAGAGCACUUCAUCUUGUUGAUGACAUGGAGAAGCUUGCAUCAUCUCAGAAUAGCUGUAUCGUGGUAUGUACAUGCCCUUUAGUUUAGACAUCUGCAUCCGAUUUUCUUUUGUAUGUUAAAGUAUUGAAUUGACAGAGCACAAUGGUCCCCUCCUAAUGUUUCAUCACAUUUGAAUGAACACUAAGAAAGCUGCUUGGUUCAUGGUGCAGGAUGAACUAGAAUCCCUUUUGGAUGACUCUGGACAUUUACGGACACUUGCUUUCUUGUAUGGCAGUAAAGGAAUGUGCUCCAAAGCUCUUUCUAUAUGGCGUAUACUGGCAAGGAAUUAUAGCACAGGUUUGUGGAAAGAUCUGUCUGAGAAUGGAUCCUGUGGAACUUUGGUUGGCAAAAGGUCUGGCGAGGAAAUUGCCGCUAUAGAAGCAGCCAAGAUCCUCAAAGAAUUGUCUGAUGAGGACCUUGUUCUGGAACAUCUUGGAUGGGUAUGCAUUUCAGGUUAAGAACUUGUUUAUCUUAUAACAAGUGUUUUAUUACUGAAUUUUAUUUGCAGGUGGCAGACAUUGAUCAAGAUCUAGCGAUUGCAGUUUUAACAUCUGAGACGAGGGAAAAUCAACUCUCACCAGGUAAUUGAUAUGUUCUGGAUAGACCAAUGUAUCAGUGUGCUUUUACUACAUAAUCAUGGCCAGACACAUUUUCUAGUUUCUGCGCAUGUGUCUCAGAGAAUGACAUAGGAACAGAGGGGUAGACUUUUAGAUAAAUUUUCAUGGUUAUAGCUGACCGUGUGACAUUUAGGAAUGUUUUUUUAGUAAUUGGGGUUUAGGUGUCUUAAAAGGCUAUUCUUUCUAUUCUUUUAAUAAAGUUCACUAUCAUUUAUUUGAAUAAUGCUAUUUUGCAGAAAAGGUUGUCGCUGCUGUUGAUGCAGAAAAGGUUGUGAUCCAUCAAAGGUAUAGAUGAUUAUCCAUUAACUUUUCAAUAAGUUCAGAUCUCUUAAUUCAACAAUCCAAAUAGAAUAUUUUAGUUUCAUAUGAGUGACAAAAUGUGAGUGAAGAAAAUAUGUGUGACAAAAGUAGUAGGAUUACUCCAUGGACAUAUUUGUAUGGUAGCUUGUUAGUAUAUGUUUUUACAAAUGGGCUAAAUAUGCAACAUCCUUAUAAUCAACUUUUAGUGGCAAGUGUUUUACAUGAUUUGAUUUUGCCCCUUGCUUUCAGUGAGGUGAUAGAAUCAUUAUGCAAAUAGUGUUAUUCCUUUACAUGUUCUUUAGAACUGUUUGUCUAUGUCUUCUCCUGCAUCUUUUGUCUCUUUGGCCACCUUCAUUUGUCAUUCAUCAGCAGAGAAUGCUUUGUGGCAGUGUUUAUUUUCUUAUUAUCCUUCUGUUAUAAAAAGUCUGAACCAGCCAAGUUGUACAGAUAUCUGCAGUGGUUGAUUGAAGAUCAGGGCUGCGAUGACCCUCACUAUCACACAUCAUAUGCUCUAUCACUGGCUAAAUCUGCGAUUGAAGCUUUUGAUAUGGAGUCUAAAUAUAGAGGGAAAGACAAUAGUGAAAUUGAUUCUGAUGCACAGUUUGUUUAUUUAUUAAGAGAGAGCUUGCAAUUGUUUCUGCAAGCUUCAGACCUGUAUGAUCCAGAAGAUGUGCUCGAUGUGAUAGCAGAAUCUGAGCUAUGGCUGGAAAAGGUGAUGUUAUGAUUUGUCUUCUUCCUGGCACUUCCAUGCUUGCCUGAUCAUGCUCAUGAUUAAUAGUACUGAUACUCUAGACUUUCCCUUGUCAGGCAAUACUGUAUAGGAAAAUGGGCCAAGAGAAUAUUGUACUUCAGAUACUAGCAUUGUAAGAUUCUAUGCUCUUGGGUUUGCUUUACUAUAUGUUGCUUUCCUUACAUAUUGGUUUGUUGUAGCCUGUAAAUUGCUCUAUUGAAAUGUCUGCUGCUUGUUAUGUUAUGAAGGAAGCUGGAGGAUAGUGAAGCCGCUGAGCAGUAUUGUGCUGAGAUUGGUCGAGAUGAUGCCUAUAUUCAGUAUGUUUUUUUUUUCACAUCAGUAUUUCUAAAUUAAUUAACUUAUUUUUUUCUUCGCCUUUUUGAACAAUAUGAAAUAAUCCCUGGUGUUCCUGCUGCCCUUUUUUCAAACUCAGGCUUUUGGGUUUGUAUUUGGAUCCUCAAAACGGGAAGGAGCCUAUGUUUACAGCAGCUGUACGACUUCUUCAUAAUCAUGGUGAAUCUUUGGACCCCAUACAAGUAUUGGAGGUAUUACUUUAUUGUUGCUUCAAUACUCACAGAUUCUUUUGAGAAUCUUGUAGCUUGCAUAUGCUAGUUUGCAAGAUGUUGGUGUUCUGGCCUUCAGUAUUUUAGGAUGGCAUAUCAGUCAUGUGAGGACUGUGGAGAGAAUGGAUAUCGUGAAGGUAGUUGUUAGCUCUGGAAAUGUGGUGUUCUGUUGAAAAAUGAGCAGUUUUUGAUCAAUAAAAAAAAACAGGCCAUGGAUACAGUUGUUUCCCCCUUCACAAAAGGAUUUUGGCUAAUAUCUGAAAAUUUUAUUGACCUGUUGGUCGUUAACAUUCCAGUAUAAACGAUCACUAUCCUUCAAACAUGGCUGUCUAGUUUUCUAUGAAGCAAACUUGCCAUCUACAAGGCGAUUAGAGUAAAGGUAAUAAGAUGAUCCAUAAUCUCCUAGUACUGCUAUUGGAAAAGAACAGAUAUGCAAAGCUGACGUCCAGCCAUUUUUCUUGUAUUACUGUUGCACACGAUCCUAGGAAAUGUGAGAAGUCUCAAAAAAGGUUACUGAAUAGUUGAUACUUAAGUACAAGGCACUCAUUGCAUCAUUGAGUCACAAUUGGUACAUGUUGUAAUAGCUGCAGUACUGCCAUGUGCAUCUUUGUCCUUGUGUUGUGCCAUACACUAGUUUCUGGGAAAAAAAAUCCUAAAACAUAAUCUUGUGCCAGAGAUUAUCUCCUGAUAUGCCUCUUCAGCUGGCAUCAGAUACAAUUUUACGGAUGCUGAGGGCCCGAGUGCACCAUCAUCGUCAAGGGCAGGUGAACAUAAUUCUUUUCUGUUUUCUUAGGUGGAGUUUUCUGUAUUGAACAGUUGAACGGCCCUGUGGGUCAUUGCCUAGUUGAACUGAGUUUGUUUCGGGUUAAACUUAUGAGAGAUGUGUCUUUCUUACCAGUCAAAUUUCUUUGCUCUUUUGUUCUCCUUUGCAUGUUUUAGAUAGUCCACAAUUUAUCACGGGCGACAAACCUAGACGUACGGUUGACAAGACUGGAGGAGAGAUCGAGGCACGUGCAGCUAACCGAUGAGAGUAUCUGUGACUCCUGUCGAGCUCGCCUCGGCACCAAGCUGUUUGCAAUGUACCCAGAUGACUCCGUUGUUUGCUACAGGGUAUGCCUACUUAGGUGUUUUGUGUUUCCUGCUGAUAGCAGUACCUGGUUUGCAUGGAGGUUUCAGGUUUCUUUGUGUGUAACAAUAACUUGGUUUUGCAGUGCUAUCGAUCCCAGCAAGGUGAUUCCUCAUCAGGGCGUGGCCGUAGCUUGAGGAAAGAUGUUAUAUUCAAACAGAGCUGGCUUGUCAGUAGAUAGAUAGCGAGGAAGGAACCAAGAGUGGUGACCUUGAUUGAGGCCAGCAUUCGGCUGUGGCUGCUCGGAAAUGGGCACUAAGUUUUUUGUGUCUGGAUGGGCUCACUCUGGAAACUUGACCAGGGCGUUGUGUAUUUUUUUGCUUAGGCCAAUGGAUGAAUAUACACAAAUACAGGCAUACCGCAAACAGGGGGAGGAUGUGUAGUCUGUUCUAGUAGCUGUAGUACAUUUUUCUGUAGAGACAAAUGAUACUAUAUAACACGCUGAUACGAGAUUUGGUAGCUGGAAAUUGCAGAUGACAAUUUUGUUUGUCCUCAGUCCUCACCAGUAGCUCAGAAAUGCAAAUGCCCCACCCACUAGAUCGCAGUGCUGGGGGUGUGUGAAACACGUUUUCGUGGAGACUGAAACGAAUGGGGGUGGUCGUGAAAGUUGAUAGAUAGACGGAGACACCAAUAAUCUGUUUGGAAAGCUGGGUCUUACGUAACUUGCCUGUAUCAUUAUUACAGGAUGUCGUAGCUCUAUGUAAACUGCAACAACUCACAACCUAAAUACCUAAUAGCCAUCAUUCUCUGAGCAUAAUCACAUAAAUUACAUCAUUGUAUUAAACCAGUGGCAAAGUCAGGAUUUUGCACCAAGGUAAUCCUUGUAAAUAAAUUGAGCCACACAAAUAUACAAUUAAUAAUAGGACCAAAGUGCAACUAUGACAUAAUUGGACAUAAAUCCAUGGUAAUGAUCUGAGUAAUACAAACUGUUGACAUAGUGGCAUUAUGGCACCAUCUCUUAACAGUUUAGAAACUCUACAAAAGCAUUUGUGGCCGCCGCCCUUAUGGGCCUAUUUGGUAGGGAUUUUCAUAGCUUCACAAUGUUGUUUUUAGCUUCUACCAACCAGGCUAUUUUUCAGCUUCCCUCACAUCUACAGUUCUUCGAGUGAAGCUGAAAGUACUAGCUUCUCUUAACUUUCUCUUUGUUAUCUUCUCUGAGAAGCUAUUUUACCAAAUAUUUUUCUAAAAUAGCUUUUACUUCACUGGUGAAGCUACUUUAUGGAACUGAAGCUACAAAAGAUGCUUCACUAGUGAAUCUGAGCUAUACCAAACAUGUCCUAUAUUAAGUAAAGGUUCCAAUAUAUUAGGCUAAGCCACUUUUCAUUUCCUGGGGCCGAUUUGGUGCCAAACCACCACAUGUCCGCCCAAUUAGACUGGCCACCUCACCUUGCUAUACAUUAGCAUGAUCACAUUGCUGUUUUGGCACCAUUGACAGCUAAAAAACACUCUUAUCCCUUGUGGUUCGACAUCACAUACCUUUCGCGUGCGUGUAGAACCGUGGGCAAAUUCGACUGUACUUGUCUCGUGUGCAUGGUUAACUUUGUAACCCUUCGCCCCCAUUGCAUCUAGCCAGUGGGGUCUAUCAUUAUGUCUCUAGUCUGCCUCCAACACUAAUCACUCUCUUACCUUAGUUGCCUUGCCAUGAGCUUCUUGUUCGCCACACCAUGUAUUGCCACUAUCUACCGCCAUCCACUUAGUCGAAGUUGUUGCCACCUAUCACUCUAGGUAGCACUCAAGCCCUUACACACUAGUGAGUUUGUUUCUUCCUCUCCAUGAAAGUGCAAAGGACACCCUAUCCUGAUACUGCUAACACAGGACCCCUUCUCAUGCAAUCCACCAUAGCGGUGCGGUGAGCCUCACCUCCAUCCCCUUUUCUCCUCAUGAUCCUGUCCGUCACAACCAGGGACAACAUGGACAUUGCCAUUGUAUUGCCUCAACACUUCGAUGCAUGUCAAAGUUGAUUAGCAAAAUUCACUUCCGCAUCACCUAGAAGGUUUAUGAUAAAACCUUGCCAUGAAUUGUAUCAAAGAUCCUAGGGGGUUGGUGGUGGUUAGGCUAUUCCUUGGGUCGAUGCAAUUGCCAUGGGACAUGGUAAGACUGGUAGUCACCCCAAUACAACCACAAUAAGUGGUGUUAGUACUCUAAACCCCUAAGUCCGGCUGGUCAUGGUCCUUUGUUGAUCUAACCGACCCUUCCUUAGGUUAGUCUAAUCGCCAACCCUUGAUUACACAAUGUUGCCUUAAAGUUGAUGUAGGUGACCAAAGGGCCAUUUUGGUUACUUCUCAUUCUACAUGAUCAAUGGAGUUAUGGACGAGGAGUGGAACCGAUUCUAUAUAGUUUGCUUAUGUACUCUGAUGCUAUGAGAGAGCGCUGAAAUCUUAGCACUAAGAAAUCGAUGAAAUGAGAUGUAAAAUUGGAUAUGGUUUUGUGAAACUUGAAUGUUCAUGCAUGUGUUGCGACGAUCGUGUAUGGUAUAUAUGUAUAAAACAUGGUUUAUUGUGAUGUCCUUGUGCUUGUGAGGUGUUCUUAAUUUGUUGAUCUCGGGCAGGUAUGGAUUGAGACACAUGAAUAUUGGGGAUAGUUUUGCUUAAAUCAGGUGGAUCAAUGGAAUAAACCUCAGUCGAUUUAUUAGUAUGAAUGAUAUAUAAUUUACGCGGUUUCUCACAUAAGCCGUAAGAGACUUGUCAAAUGGAGAUUGAACUUAUUUCUAGACUUUGCAAGAAGAAACAAAUAUCUAAGCACUAGACACACACUAGUUCAUUUGAUGGAUGCGAUGAUCAUGCAUCAAUGAAGUGGAUAUUAUUGGAGAAGGAAGGAAGGCUCCUGACCUGACCUGACGCCUACCUCGGAAAAGAGAUCGAAGCCGUACAUGAUGAAUGGAGCAAUUGGCCCGUCAGUGUCUCAUGUCCAUACAUCAACGGAAAGGCCAGAUUAAAGCGAGGGAAGCAGCAGGAGAUGGAGCAGAGGCAUGCGAGAACCCACUAGCUCAUCGUUAGCUAGCUAAUUGCCUAUUAUAUUAGUGCUGAUCCAUGCAUCAACCAUGUCAUACGUCAUAAGUUAGGUUACACUACUGUAUGUAAUACACUCCUUUCUUGCUAGCUAGCCCUAGCUACUAGCUGCUAGUCAUCCUUGGUUAGCAUGAAGGAAAUAUCUGAUAGAUGAUGAUGCAGCAGCAUGAGCAAUGUAAUAAUGUGCAUGCACAAGUGACCGUCGCUGCCUGCCCAUCAGCAGGUCGGCCCAUGACACAUCUCAUCAAUUAAUUCGAUCUCUCGCACGAGCUGAUGAGGUGCAGUACGUGGUGCUUGCAAUGCAUAUACAUACAUGAUCCAUCGAUCGAUGUGCAUGUCUGCAUCCCUGUCCUCCACUGCGACUGCACUUUUGCAAUGUUUAAUUCCAGUGGAGCCUUUGCUUUGCUAGUGCAGGUGCUCCCAACUCGCACUUUUGCAAGCCUAUAAAUAUAUGCAUGAUGCAUGGCGAUGCCAGGCAACCAGCGAUACCACCUCAUCAGUCAUCACUCUCACACUGCAGCUUAGCUAGCUUAGCUGCUGAUCACAACAAGCAAAGCAUAUAGUAGCUAGCUAGGUGAUCGAUCGUCGACGAUGGCCGCCGCCGCCUCCUCCUCCUCACAGCAGCAAAUCCGUCCACUGGUGGGCGCCGCCGCGUUUCUUGCUGUGUGGUGCCUCGUCGUCGGCACGGCCAGGUCGUCGUCGUCGAUGCAGAUGCAGUGCCACGAGGAGGACCAGGAGGCGCUGCUGGCGGUGAACUCGGCGCUGGGCAGCCCGUACCACUUCGCGUCGUGGACGCCCGACACCUUCUGCUGCGACUGGUACGACGUGGACUGCGACAACACCACGGGCCGCGUCGUCGGCCUCACCGUCCUCGGCGACGGCAACCUCACGGGCGCCAUCCCGGACGCCAUCGCCAACCUCACCAACCUCCGCACGCUGGUCCUCCGCCACCUCCCGGGCCUCACGGGCAACAUCCCGGACUCGCUCGCGCUGCUCUCCAACCUCUCCCAGCUCACCAUCUCCUCCACGGGCGUCUCCGGCCCCGUCCCGGAGUUCCUCUCCCAGCUCACGGAGCUCACCAUGCUCGACCUCUCCUUCAACUCUUUCGAGGGCACCAUCCCGGCGUCGCUCGCCGACCUGCCCAGCCUCUCCACCAUCGACCUCAGCCGCAACCGCCUCUCGGGCCCCGUCCCGUCGCUGCUCCUCACCAAGUGCUGCACCGACGAUCAGCAGGCGGCGUACCUCCGGCUGUCGCACAACAACUUCUCCGGCGCCAUCCCCGCCGGGUUCGCCGCCGUCAGCUUCGCGCAUCUGGACCUGUCGCGCAACGCCUUCACCGGCGACGCGUCGGGAGUGCUGGGCAAGGGGAAGCCGCUGCAGCACCUGGACCUGUCCCGCAACGGCUUCGCCUUCAGCCUCACGGCGGUGGAGCUGCCGGAGCAGCUGAGCUACAUGGACCUGAGCCACAACGCCAUCCGGGGACGCAUCCCGGCGCAGGUGGCGGACCUCGCCGGGCUGCAGCUCUUCAACGUCAGCUACAACAAGAUGUGCGGCGUGGUGCCGACGGGAGGGAACAUGGACAAGUUCGACGCCUACAGCUACCAGCACAACAAGUGCCUCUGCGGCACGCCGCUGCCGUCCUGCGGACACCGUAAUUUCUAGCUAGUUUCAUUUCAUUUCCAGCAUAUAUAUUAUUCACACAUAUAUAUAUAUAUAUAUAUAUAUAUAUAUAUAUAUAUAUAUAUAUAUAUAUAUAUAUAUAUAUAUAUAUACUGCUAGCUGGGGAUCGAUGCAUGGAUGGACGUACGAUGCAUGGAUCAAUCCAUGCAUUGAUCGAUCGAUGAUCGAUAUAGGAGGAAGCAGAUUCCUAAUUAAAAAGCAAAGCUCACACAUAUAUAAGAAGAAGAGUAGUGAAAUAAUAUAUAUGCAUGUAAUAAUCUAAUCCCGGAAUCAAACUUAUGGUAAUAAGGUUAGUCCAUGCAUAUGCAUCAUCAAUCCCAGGAUGUGGAUCGAGAGGCAACUACAAAAAUCUGUACUCUCUCUCUAUAUAUACUAGCUAGUGUAAUGGUUGUGUGCUUGGGUUUGUGUGUGUACCUAUCUAGGUAGAGACAGCUUAAUAAGCUGAAUGCAUAAUGUACUAUAUGAGUCUGUCCUUUGAGAAGUACCAACAAUAGUAAUAUUAAUUGCAAUGCUACCCAAUGCUUUAAUUUCGAUUAUCAGCGGUGAUUGGCAUAAAAUGUUUCCAUUAAUUUAUGAUUGCUAGCUGAUGUCAUAGCACAAAAACUGAUGAUGUUCAUGUGGAUCUAAACCAUCCGUAUCCAUCGAUAUGUAAAUCGGAAGAUGCAUUUCAAUGUGUUGGCUCCCCUGCUUUGUGAGCAUAUAUAUUCCGUCGAUGCUCGACCAGCUCUCACCACCAGCCAUAAGAUCGACACCAGAGGGCUGAGAUUGAGCCACGUAACCUCAGCCCACAAGCCCUCCGAUGACGUGGCUACAUACCUUGUUGACUUCUCAACCCUCCAGUGCUGAUCUGACGACAGACUAUGAGCAACGCCAUAGCUAGGGUGAACAUCUGCCACUGGCGGAGCCUCCUCCUGGAGCUGAACCUAGGAUAUAUAUAUAUAUAUAUAUAUAUAUAUAUAUAUAUCGUACGUGUAGUUACUCUUAUUAUCUUCAAAAGCUACAUUGUGUAUGUAUUCAUACUUGUUUAUCAGUUUGAGUAUGUUUAUAUACUCAUAUUAAGAUACUCUAGAUCUUACCACGCGAAAAUUUUUCAAAAAAAAUUAUAUUUUAAAUAUAUUACUAAAAUGCCACUACUAUAUUAUAUACAAUAAGUAUAACCAUAUACUCGAUGUAUGUAUGCAUACUUAACAUACAUAUCACUCUAGAUGGUCUAGUAUUAUCAUAUACUUUGUCUAUAUACAUUUCGUUCGGUCAUAUACACCUUAAAUCUAGAGAUAUAUAGAUGAGAGUAACUACACGCGUGUGUAAAAGAAAAGCCUAGACUAUAUAUAGAGAACCAAAAAAAAAGAUACGAGAGCCUAACACAACAUCAUACUAUAUUGUUACUACCUGUUAUAAUUGUCAUUGAAUUUUUCUUAGCCCUCCCUUGUUUUAUGUCCACGCUCCGCCACUGCAUCUCCUGUAUAUAUAUGCUCAUAAAAUCCACUCUCAGCAGUUUAACUCCAAUCCUUUUUUUCUUUGCUUUCCAAAUAUACUCAUCAAAAUUUAGAGGUUCUAGCUCCGUGUCAACAACCUUUGUGCCAUGGAAUAAAUGAGAUCAACAUUUUGGCCAAGGUUUUGUAAAAUGCUUUGGUUUUGACUUUUGAGGGAAAAAAACAAGGUCUAUAUGUUUGCAUUAUCGGACGCAACAAAUCUUGUAGUUUUUAAAAACUAUGAUCGCUAAAACUCUAGUCUUCAAUGUUUCUUUGCUGCUACGAUCGAACCUUCUCAACUGCAGCUAGCUAUCUUCCCACCCACCCCCACCCCCCCUCCUUUUUUGCAUCUACAACCCCCUUUGCAUUGUUUGGAAAGAACUGUAUUCUUGUCUUGUGUCGAAUCGGCUUUUGUUCGUGCUGAAUUAGCACCUUCUUGUCUUGCAAAUCCAUAAUGUUUUUUUGGGAAAGUCUGCUUGCCAAUUUGCAUGUCAACAACAUGAGAGUGAGUCAUGUGGUGCCUGAGCCCCGAGCCAAGAGUGGAGGAGCCCAAGGGCAGACACGGCAAGAUUUAUGCCGGCCCAAUUUUGAUCUACCAUAUAUGAACGGGCUGUCGUCCAUUUGACCACUUUUUUGUUUGCUCGUAUAGAUAGCAGUAUAGAUGGCCAACCGCCGCUCAACACGGCACGGCACGGCCGGCACGGGCACUAUGCGGCACGGCGACCCAUCGUGCCGUGCCUAAUAAUGCCAGUGUGCCGAAGUGGCAGCCCAUGCACGGUCCUAUCAGGGCCGGAGCGUGCCGUGCCAUCAGGCACUAAGCCAUCUUCAGCCAUGUUGUCGUCGUCAGAGUUUCCUUGGAGGUCGCAGAUCCUCUCCAUCUCUUCUUCCAUGGCCGUGGCACUAGCCUCCGCCGUGUCUUCGAAGACAGAGGGCGGAGGCCGGGGCAACACCCUCGCUUCAGCUUGACCUAGCCUCAAUCGGCUUCCAAAAGAAGAGCAACAUCAACAAAGAACUAGAUAUUGAAGAAGAUGAGUCAACAACAGAGAAAAUUGGAGCUAGGGUUUCGUACCUAGACAGCGCCGGUGACGUAGACGGAGCUAUGGCCAGCACCACCAGAUCAGCAGAUCUGAAAAAAAUGGCGACAGCGAGUCAGAGAAGAAGAAGAAGAGCUUACAGAAGAAGAGUCAUGGCUGACGGCAAGUUAAGUUUCUAACCUUGUUCAUCGAAGCUCCUGAGCAUCUGGUGGAUGAGAAGAAAAGGUGGGGCCAGCGGCAAGCCGCCGUCGCCCGCCCCCGUUGGAGGCGUCGUCGCCCUUCGCCACCAUCGUCGGAGCAGGAGGCAGAGAGGAGAGGAGUGAGCGGCUGCGGCUUGGGCGCUGAGCGAAGCGGCUGCAGGAGCAGGGGGAAAUAAUUUAGGGUUCAAGGUCGGGGGGGGGGGGGGGAUGCCGGCGGGCUUAUAUACAGCAAGAUACAACGGUUAUAUCCAAUGGCUCUUAUCACCCCGAACCCUAGAUCGGACGACUGCCAUCCCCAUGUAGAUAGCGGGCCAGGCCGUUUUGCCGUGCCGUGCCCGUGCUGGCACUUGGACCGGAAUGGCAGUCUAGGCACGAGCACUGUGGCGGGCCGUGCUUUUUUAGGUCGUGCUCAGACCGACCCACCGUGCUCGGCCUAGUUGGAAAUCUAAGAUAGCAACUAGAUAAUCCAUCUCCACUCCAGAGACAGUGGUCAGCACAAGCAUGCAUGCUGCUCCUAGCUAGUCCUAUCAAGUCAGACCCAGGUCGCUUCCAUGACCAGGACAGGAGUGGCAUGUCCUGCCUGCUCCUGCUAAAGUGCCAAACGCGCCGGCGGCUAUCUUCUUGUCGAUGCUCAUAUCCAUCAGUUUCACAGUUGGCACUUGCCAGCAAGUCGAUCUCUGUACAUUGCAUUGCAUUGCUUGGCAAAGCUAGCUAGCCCAACAACAGGUAAUAUAUAUACAUGGUCCAUAGCCAGCUGCAGGCUGCAGCGACCCCGUGGCUCGUGCGCGUCCAAGAACCAAGAUGAAGACGACGGCGCCGAUGCGCAAGUACUCCCUCGUCGUCGUCCUCCUCGCUGCAGCUGCGGCUUCGGCUUCGGCUUCGGCUGCCGCCGCCUCCUCAAGCAAGGCGGACCGCUGCCAUUCCGACGACAAGAGAGCGCUGCUGGCUAUCAAGGCGGCGCUCGGCAACCCGUAUCACUUUGCGUCGUGGACACCCGACAACCCCUGCUGCGACUGGUACGACGUCGAUUUCGACGCCACCAACGGCCGCGUCGUCGGCCUCUCCAUCUUCCAGGACGCCAACCUCACGGGCACCAUCCCCGACGCCAUCGCCGGCCUCGUCCACCUCCGGAACCUCAUGCUGCACCACCUCCCGGGCAUCUCCGGCCCCAUCCCGCCCGCCAUCGCCACGCUCUCCAACCUCUCCACGCUCACCAUCUCCUACACCGGCGUGUCCGGCCCCGUGCCAUCGUUCCUGGGCAAGCUCACUGCGCUCACCUUGCUGGAUCUGCCAUUCAACUCCCUCACGGGCGCCAUCCCGCCGUCGCUCGCCGCCCUCCCGUACCUCUCCGGGAUCGACCUCAGCCGCAACCGCCUCACCGGCGCCAUCCCUCCGCUGCUCCUCAGCAGGUCCCCCGACCAGGCCUACCUCGUGCUGUCGCACAACAACCUGUCCGGCGCCAUCCCCGCCGAGUUCGCCGCCGUCAACUUCGCGCACCUCGACCUGUCGCGUAACGCACUCACGGGCGGCGACGCGUCGGGCCUGUUCGGCCGUGGAAAGGAGCUGCAGUACCUGGACCUGUCGCGCAACGCCCUGAGCUUCAAUCUCUCCGGCGUGGAGCUGCCGGAGCAGCUCUACUUCGUGGACGUAAGCCACAACGCCAUCUACGGCGGCAUCCCGGCGCAGGUGGCGAACCUGACCAACCUGCACUUCUUCAACGUCAGCUACAACCGCCUCUGCGGCGGCGUGCCCACCGGCGGCAACAUGGCGAGGUUGGAUGCCUACAACUACCAGCACAACAAGUGCCUGUGUGGAACUCCGCUGCCGACAUGCAAGUGAUCUACGUAUGUAACAAUCAGUUCAUCACAAGUGCCUCUACAUCAUUUUUAAAUAAACCAAAUUAAGGCCUUGUUUAGUUCCCAACAAAAUCCAAAAAAAAUUCAAGAUUCCUCAUCACAUCGAAUCUUGCGGCACAUGCAUGAAGUACUAAAUAUAAACGAAAACAAAAACUAAUUACACAGUUUGUCUGUAAAUCGCGUCACGAAUCUUUUGACCCUAGUUAGUCUAUGAUUGGACAAUAUUUGCCACAAACAAACGAAAGUGCUAUACAGUAGCGAAAUCUAAAAUUUUUUCACAUUUAAACAAGGAUAAAUGAUGGAGCCAUGCAACCUUGACAUGUAAGGGCAAUAUGCAUGUUUUUGGAGCAUGAGAAAUUUCCCCUAGACAAACCACGGUUCUGAUUUCAAAAAAUUGAGAAACUGAGAAUAGCACCGGAACCGGACUGUGGGUUCCAAAACAUGUACAAGUGAAUGUGUGAUUAUCAUAACUUUGAGAGCAAUUGAUUCACAAGAUGUAAAACACAAGAAUGAAUUCUAUUUUCCAAUAUAUAGGCUUUAAUUUGGACAAUAUAAUAAGUAGUCACUCCAUCUAACAUACACAAACGGCAUAGUUAUGACCAACGAUCGCACCAAAGUAGCGACUGUAAUCUUGAUUAGAGAGGAAUCAGGAAAAAAUCACAGACGUGGUUCAUAGCACUUAGACUGCAUUUCUUUUUCUCGAACACAGGAGAACCGCAAUUGCGCGUCAUUUUAUUAAGAUAGAAAUAUACUGCCUCUACAAUAACACAAAAAAUCAUUUAAAUCCUGCCUAACUCCACCCAAAGAUCAUAGUGGUGCACUAGUAUAGAGCUUAAAGUGAGGUCUUGGAAGGUCAACAUCAGUGCCAACCUAUAAUGUGGGUUAUUGAUAUUUGAGCUUAACAACAAAAUCACUCUUCACAAUAAGGCCUUGUUUAGCAGGGCUUUUUCAGCGGCUCUAGGAAUGGUUUGGAGACGUUUUCUGUCAAACAAACAGUGGCGGAGCCACCGCCCGACCACCCCGGGCAGCCGGCCUGGCUCGCUGCCAAAGUUCAAAAGGAAAAAUAUCUUGCUGUCAAAGUAGAACUCUAUAAUUUUCUAGCUAAAUAUUUUUGCAUAACAAGAACUGCCCGGCUCCAAAAAAAUCUAGCUCCGCUAAUGCAAACAAAGUAUAAUGAAAUGGCUCUACAGAUGAAGUCCCUAAAAACGUGCUCACAAAGAGUUUAGGAUGGAAAGGAGCCAAAAAUAAUGCCUUUUUUAACAUCACCUCAUCCUAAAUGGUGUUAUGUAAAAGCAUAUUUUUUAAAAACUCUAUAUAGAGCUAUUUUGACAAAGAAUUUACUAAAAUAGCUCUAGCACGUGUCCUUGGAGCUUAAGCAAAAAAAAGAAAAGAAAAGACGGCUUCACUAAUGAAGUGAAGCCAUGCCGAACAGAAUCUAAAUAAUAUUAAAAAAACUAGGUAGGCCAUGGUUACCUUUUGUUUGCAUGCCAUUAGUUAAGAUGUUCAAUUUUUCCUCAAUCAAAAAAUUAUACCUAGUACAUGGAUUAUUUUUCCCUUGCUAGUAUAGAACAAAUUAGCAGUUCCAGUGAAUCUGAAUCCAUUAUAUGUUAUCAUGUACUACUUUGCAAGCAAGAGAUUAUGACAGUACGUAGGUAAAUCUAUGCGGAUGCGUUUUUUAAAACUAUAUUUGAGGUCAAAGUUUGGAAUUUUGACCAGAUCUUCUUAGACCUUGUUUAGUUUCGAAAACUUUUUGGUUUUCAAAACUGUAGCACUUUCGUUUUUAUUUGACAAACAUUGUUCAAUCAUAGACUUAAAAGAUUCAUCUGUGCAAUUAGUUUUUAUUUCAUCUAUAUUUAGUGCUCUAUGCAUGUGCCGCAAUAUUCGAUGUGACGAAGAAUCUUGAAAAUUUUUUAGUUUUAAGGUGAACUAAACAAGGCCUUAUCCAUCUAGUCAGAGCUUUGGUUGAGUAAUUUGACCAUCGUCCCCCUUGGUCGUCUUUCACUUGCACACCGCAUAUGCACCAUGCAGGGCGGUGAGCGGGCAAACGCGGCGGCGCUGGUCCGUCGUCUUGGUGUCUGUCGGCGCUUAUCAUUCGGGCAGUCUGUUCAAUUGGCACUGGCAGUGACAGACAACCACCAGUACUAUAUAGCUAGCUAGCUGCAGCGAUACCCACAACACACCCACAAGAAUCCAAGAUGAAGAUGAUGCGCUCCUUCAUCUUCGUCCUCCUGUUCCUCGCCGCUGCAUCACCACCAGCUGGAGCAUCCGCCGACUCCUCCAGCAAGCAGGACCGGUGCCACUCGGGCGACAAGGCGGCGCUGCUGGCCAUCAAGGCGGCGCUCGGCAACCCAUACCACUUCGCGUCGUGGACACCCGACAACCCCUGCUGCGACUGGUACGACGUCGACUGCGACGCCGCCACCGGCCGCGUCGUCGGCCUCGCCGUGUUCCAGGACGCCAACCUGACGGGCACCAUCCCGGACGCCAUCGCGGGGCUCGUCCACCUCCAGAACCUCAUGCUGCACCACCUCCCGGGCAUCUCUGGCCCCAUCCCACAGGCCAUCGCCAGGCUCUCCAACCUCUCCUUCCUCACCAUCUCCUGGACGGGCGUCUCCGGCCCCGUGCCGUCGUUCCUGGGCUCGCUCACCAGGCUCAACCAGCUCGACCUCUCCUUCAACUCCCUCGCCGGCGCCGUCCCGGCCUCGCUCGCCGCGCUGCCCAGCCUCUACAGCAUCGACAUCAGCCGCAACCGCCUCACGGGCUCCCUGCCGCCGCCGCUCUUCAGCAAGCUUAAGGCGCAGGAGGCGUACCUCCGGCUGUCGCACAACAACCUCACCGGCACCGUCCCAGCCGAGUUCACGGCGGUGGCGUUCGCGCAGGUCGACCUGUCCCGGAACGC
Molecule: long non-coding RNA, 51399 nt
Filed under: Sorghum bicolor (sorghum)
Lineage: Eukaryota; Viridiplantae; Streptophyta; Magnoliopsida; Poales; Poaceae
Description: long non-coding RNA (SBIC_LNC015278)
Source: RNAcentral